This 58334-nucleotide long non-coding RNA is filed under the name Malus domestica (apple). RNAcentral describes it as "long non-coding RNA (MDOM_LNC008042)". The record is from RNAcentral. Lineage: Eukaryota; Viridiplantae; Streptophyta; Magnoliopsida; Rosales; Rosaceae.
CUCCGAUCGCCGGAUGGGCCAGGAUGGCCGCUUGCGGGGCCCAACCUAUCACCUUCCCAAUCGGAGCUGUCCGAUUAAGAAACCCUUCGGGCAAGACUGCGUUUAGAUCCGCAUAGUCGCUUGGCAUAGCUAUCUUGCCUUUAGGUGGGGGCCGGCGUAGGGACCACAAAAACCGCUGCCCGCUAUGCUCCAGCGCACAAGCUAUCUCUUUCACCUGGGCCUCACUGAAACUUCCCAUGCUCCCAAAACAUAGGAACACCACCGACAAAGAGGGCUGAUCAUCGAGCCACCUGAAGAUAUCCGAGCCCUUAUUUUCAUCACAUCUUUUGAGGUUCAAUAAGGGCCCCACUGGAUACACGGGUGGGAUUUUAUCAUCAAAAUCAAGAUAAUGAAGAGCAUGCAAAUCCAGCUCCAAGAAUGUAUUUACCAAAAUACCCUUGAUUUGUCUACACCUGCUGGUAUAGUUGAGGAUUGAUUCGGUGAUCUCUUUGUCCGCAAACGUACCGGGCAAGACUGCGGCAGGGCAAGGGUUGAUGAAACUCGGGACGGCCAACUCAGCGCUCGAGCGCGUAAACUCAGUUAUAUCUAUGCCGCCCUCGUCGCGAAGCAAUUGAAAAUGGAACAAAAGUGCGAGCAGCGAAGCGUUGGAGGUGAAGAACGCGUAGGAGGGAACCAUGAAUUCGUCAGCCACGUCAACUAGGGUUGCGCAUAAAAAGUCGAGCACGAAGCCGGCAAGCCGAGGCCUCGACAUCGACUCAGACUGAUCUGACUCAGAAAGUAAGUUGACAACGGCGUCUCUGAUGUGAGUUUUGUGAUUUUCGACGAGGAUUCUGAUCAAGGACCCGUGUUUGGGGAUGGCUUCUUGUUUGUCCGGUUGGGCUUCGGGGAGGUUAACGAAGUUGAUGCGGUGAGAGAUUGAAGAGUCAGCGAUGGUGAAUGGUUGGUCGUAGGGAAGCUUCAUGACGAGGACUGUGAUAAACAGUUGGUCGUCCCGAGCAACGAGUUGCUCUGCAAUCUCGAUCGCUGAUACGAUGUGGCCGAUAACCGGGCCGGGAACGACAACUAGUUGUGCUGGUCUCUUCAUCUUUUCGGAAAUGGCAAUGAAAAGCUCAGCUGUUUUAUUUAGAAAAAAUGUUUCAUAUUAUAGUAGAGUGGUGUGAUGUCAUGCCUUCGCUCACAGUUUCUGAAUUACUGGACAAGUCAAGAUCUUAAUUAGUUUAAUAUUGGAAUGACGGAAAUCAAGCCAGAGGAUAAAACAAAAGGUUAUCAGAUUUGAUUUUGGUCGCACUACUAGUCGUAGGCCAGUGCAACUGUUUUGCCAUUAUUACAAGUCGGUCAAAGAGUAGGAAUUGAAAAGAUAUAUUAUGGAUUAGCACAACCAAUAAAGUUUCACUAUGAUAUUCACAAACAUCAUUUUACUUUUUUCAUAUUCUUUAAUUUUUUGUAAUCGGAUUGGAUGAAUUGAAAAAGAUCAAAUGAUAGAAAUUAACAAGAGAUGUAGGAGAAGUAAAAAAUGAUGUGUGGAUAACACACCCCUCACUUUUUUACUUGGUCUAUGUUUUAUAUUGUCUUCAGUAGAAAGUUUUGUUGAGAGUUAUAUAUUAGUUAAAGUGUAAAUAGUAGUUCAUUGUUUCACAUUGGUGAAGUACAUAUGUAAUACCAAUUGUAACUCCUAUAUAUACUCCACUUUGGAGAUUAAUGAAUGUAUAAGAAAUUCCCAAAUAUUGUCAUAUAUAUUUUUGGUAUUUACCAUGUUUAGUUUAAUAUUAGUAUUUACCAUGUUUAGUUCAAUAUGGCAUCAAAGCAGUUCGCUCUUGGUGACCUAUGUGCUUUAAUUUUGUGCCCACAUUUUUCGUAAUUUCCUUCGUAAAAAAAAUUUUAAAAAAAAAAAAACAAAGUGAAUAGUGGCGCUACAGUACAGUGCGUGAACAGUUGUCUGCUUUGUGAACAGUGGUCCUCUACAGUGCCGUAAAACAGUGAUUACUACAGUCGUGAAUAGUGCUCUGCUACAGUGUCAUAAACAGUGCUCUGCUAUAGUAUCUGGUAAAUUGUUUUCAUUCCGCUGCAUAUCUUUUGUGCCUUUAUUGUUCGCGAUUUUUGUUCAAUAGCUCAAUAUAAUCAUAGUGUUAUUAUGCAUCUUGGUGGAACAAAUAAAUGGAUAAUAGAUACUGGGGACACUGAUCAUGUGCCUAGUGACCCUAGAGUGUUUGAUGAGUUAUGUGAUUAUGUUCGUGAUUCGUAUGUUACUAGUGCAAAUGGAGCACAUUUCCUUGUGAAGGGUGAAGGCACUAUCUUUCUAACUCCUACCUUAUCAUUGGUCCGUGCUUUACUUGUUCUUGAUCUUAAGUGCAAUCUUUUGUCGGUAGGAAAACUUCUUGAUACCUUAUAUUGUUCUGCUCACUUCUACCCUACGUAUUGCUAUUUUCAAGAUAUUCAAACUCAGAAGAUAAUUGAUCAUGGUAAAAGAAUAGGGGGUUUGUACAUCUUGACUAUGGAGGAUACUGUUGUUUCUGGUUUAAAUAAUCAUCAAGUUUUAAGUGCUAAAGUGGAUGACAGACAUCAAAUUUGGUUGUGGCAUCGACAAUUGGGACAUCCAUCAUUCAGUUAUAUGAAACAUCUAUUUCCUUCUUUGUUUCGCACUUGUAGUGAUUCAGAGUUCAAGUGUGAAACAUGUGUUAUGGCUAAGAGUCAUCGUGCUUCAUUUCCUGUAAGUGAUUCUAAAGCUACUUUGCCAUUUGAUUUGAUACAUUCUGAUGUAUGGGGUCCAGCGAAAGUUACUUCUAAUGGAUUCCGUUAGUUUGUUACUUUUAUUGAUGAUUGUACUAAGUUAACUUGGGUGUUCUUGAUGAAGAAUAAGAGUGAUGUUCCGUUACUUCUUCAAGAAUUUUGUACAAUGGUGUCUACUCAGUUUCAGACCAAAGUUAAGGUCUUCAGGUCUGAUAACGGGGGAGAAUAUGUGAAUCACACUUUGGCAUGUUUUUUUCGUGAUCAUGAUAUUAUUCACCAGGCGACUACUCCGUUUACACCCCAACAAAAUGGUGUGUCUGAAUGAAAGAAUAGUCAAAUAAUGGAAGUUGCUCGCUCAUUGAUGUUGGAUAAAUGUGUUCCUAAUCAUUUGUGGGAUCAUGCUGUUUUGGCUGCUGUGUAUUUGAUCAAUCGUGUUCCAAGUAGGGUUCUUGAUUUUCAGACACGGUUUGAUGUGCUACAACAACAUGUUUCUCUUGUUUCUGUAUCAAAUAUUCAUCCGAAAGUGUUUGGGUGUAUUGCGUAUGCGCAUGUCUACUCUCAUCAGCGGAGUAAACUUGAUGCACGUGCUCUCAUGUGUGUAUUUAUUGGGUAUGCUAACAAUCAGAAAGGCUAUAAGUGUUAUCAUCAUCCGACUUAAAAAACUUAUAUUACUAUGGAUGUCACCUUCCAUGAGGAAGUUUCGUAUUUUAUGAAGCCCUCUUUCGACUCUCCACUUCAGGAGGAGAUGGGGAGUGAAGUGCAGAUUCGAAAAGAUGAUAUGGAUGAUGUGUUACAGGCAGAGUUGGGAACAUAACCUAUUAUGUUGCGUGAUACUAAUCAGUCGACUACAAAUAGUGAUCGGUCACCUAUUAUUCCCUGAACUAUUUCUACUGACGAUAUAUCAGAUGUGCCCAGCGAGUUGCCUGUUAGUAUGUCUGACGAAUUACCUUCUAAUGAUCGGUUGCCUGCUGCUGAUAUGUCUAACAAGUUGCCUGAUAAUGGUUCGUCCAAUGAUGAUUCUUCUAACAGUUUGGUACAAGAUGGUGGCAUACAUGAGGUAAAUUCUGACGAUUCUUCUACUUAUCAGUUGCCUCCACGAGCUAAUCGUGGAAAACCUAAAGUACAAUAUGAGCCUGAUAUGCAUGCCAAAGCCAAAUAUCCUAUCAACAAUUAUGUGUCUACUCAUCGUUUAUCCAAACCAUAUGCAUCUUACAUAUGUCAGCUAUCUAGUGUAUCAAUUCCAACAAAAUUGCAAGAUGCCUUGUCUGACCCUAAGUGGGUUAAUGCCAUGCAAGUUGAGAUGAAAGCUUUGGAAAAGAAUUCUACCUGUGAUUUGGUUCCUUUACCAAACGGAAAAAAAAAGCCGUUGGAUGUAGAUGGGUGUUUACUAUUAAGCACAAAGCAGAUGGUUUUAUUGACCGGUAUAAAGCUAGAUUAGUUGCUAAGGGUUAUACUCAAACCUAUGGGGUGGACUAUCAGGAGACAUUUGCUCAUGUUGCCAAACUUAAUAUUGUGCAUGUUCUUCUGUCCUUAGCAGCAAACCAGGAUUGGCCUCUGUUGCAACUUGAUGUUAAGAAUGUUUUCCUUCAUGGUGAUCUUAAGGAGGAAGUGUAUAUGGAUCUCCCACCUGGUAUUGGAACAUCUCCUGGAAAAGGUGUUGUAUGUAGGUUACGAAAGGCUUUGUAUGGUUUGAAACAAUCUCCUAGAGCGUAGUUUGGGAGGUUUACAAGUUCAAUGAAGAAGUUUGGGUAUAUCCAGAGUCAUUCAGAUCAUACUUUGUUUCUAAAGCGACAAAAUAGUAAGCUAACUGCAUUGAUUAUUUAUGUUGAUGACAUGAUAGUGACUGGUGAUGAUCAGAAUGAGAUACAACGUCUUCAAAAGUACCUAGCUAUUGAGUUUGAGAUGAAAGAAUUGGAUGAAUUGAAGUAUUUUCUUGGAAUCGAGGUUGCACGAUCCAAGCAUGGUAUUUUUCUGUCUCAACGGAAAUAUGUUCUUGAUUUGUUAGCUGAAACAGGUAUGUUAGAUUGCAAACCUGUUGAUACUCCGAUUGAGCAGAAUCAUCGUCUGGGCUUAUUUCCAGAUCAAGUUCCUACUCAUAAGGAACGGUAUCAGAGGCUUGUGGGGAGAUUAAUUUAUUUGUCUCAAACUCGCCCUGACAUUGCUUAUGCAGUUAGUGUGGUAAGUCAGUUUAUGCACUCACCUAGUGAAGCUCAUAUGGAUGCAGUAACCCGUAUUUUGAGGUACUUAAAGAUGGCUCCUAGCAUAGGCCUGUUUUUCUCCAAGAAUGGUCAUUUAAAUGUCGAAGGGUAUACAGAUGCAGAAUGGGCAAGUACUAUCACUGAUCGGCGAUCUACAUCCUGAUACUUUACGUUUGUGGGUGGUAAUUUAGUUACUUGGAGAAGCAAGAAACAAAAAGUGGUGGCUAGGUCAAGUGCAGAAGCUGAGUUUCGUGGUAUGUCGCAUAGUGUAUGUGAGUUGUUGUGGUUAAAAAAAUUGUUGAGAGAUCUUGGGUUUAACCCCAAAGGUGCUUUGAAACUUCAUUGUGAUAACAAGGCUGCUAUUGAGAUUGCUCAUAAUCCAGUGCAACAUGAUCGAACAAAACAUGUGGAGAUUGAUCGACAUUUCAUUAAGGAAAAAUUGGAUGCUGAAAUUAUUAUGUUUCCGUUUGUGAGAUCUGAAGAUCAACUUGCUGAUGCUCUUACUAAGGCUGUGUCUAAUAGUGUGUUUUCCAACUCGCUUGACAAGUUGGGCAUGCGUGACAUCUUUGCACCAACUUGAGGGGGAGUGUUGCGAGUUAUAAUUAGUUAGAGUGUAAAUAGUAGUUUAUUGUCCCACAUUGGUGAAGUACAUAUGUAAUAUCAAUUGUAACUCCUAUAUAUACUCCACUUUGGAGAUUAAUGAAUAUAUAAGAAAUUCCCAAAUAUUGUCAUAUAUAUUUUUGGUAUUUACCAUGUUUAAUUUAAUAUUAGUAUUUAUCAUGUUUAGUUCAAUAAGUUGAAGAACUGAAAAUCGACAUGAUGCACACUAAGUCAAGAUUUCAGUUACUAAGCACAUCAAUGUUGUGCUAGUUUAAAUCGAUACAGAAUCCGACGUGUAUUGUUCAUUUGAAGAUAUUCGAUAAUAUUUGAACGAUAAGAGGGGAAGAGGAGGAGAAUUUCACAAGUCCAAACUUCUGUACCCAAAACUAUACGUAGCGUCUUUGUGCUCUAUCUAUUUGAGUGACAAGUGUUUUUUUACUUAAAUUCAUCCAACACCAUUUAAAAAACAAAAACAAAAAACUAAAUAGUAAAGAAGAAUAAACACAAGAUCCCCCUAAUCCCACCCACCCCAACGCUACCUUGCCAGCAGACUCCCUCUCCUCCUCACCUGUCAUUGUCGGCGAGCAUGUCUGAUAAGUUUCCCAAACCUUUAUGAUGACAUUGAUGACGCUUCUUACAUAGAACCCAGAACUAUUUCCGCCCCAAUUGCAAAAACGCACAACCCAAAAUUAGAAAAAUUGACAUAGUAUUGAAUUUUGAGAGGAUUUUUAAUGAAUAAACCAUGCCCUCUCUCUUUCUUGUCUCUCUCUAACCCACAACUAUUUCCACUUGUUAAUGUUCAAAAUUGUAAGGUUAACAAAUUUAAAUAAAUGAUAUUAGAUGGACUGAUGAGAUGGGUUGAGAUUAAAUGGACUCAAUGAAGUAAGUGGUUUAUCCCUAAAAAAAAUGGGCUACAUCUACUGUGUUGCUCUCAAUAUGAUGAUUUCAAUGCCAUAUAGUGCACAAUUAAUACAUUCAUUCUAUUAUCUCUUAUUUGUCUAACCCCCAUUAUAGAGGUAUUCACCCCUUUAUAUAAGCCUUGUCCCUUUGAGGCCUCUCAAACAGACAUUUAAAGUACCAACCACUUAUACUAGCAUACUAACAGUUUUUCACAUAAUCGAACUGGCCUUUGUCGACGAAAUGAUGUAUUGGCAAUCGGAUAACACACCUUUUAAAGACUAAAUGGCCCACGCUUCUCGCUCGAACCUCGGUUGCUCUGGCUUGCCUUUGUGUCCCAUCGUAGACCUCUGAUGUUUUCUACACUUUGUUGAAAAGUCCAAGUAGCACUUAAUUAAGUAAUCUUAUUCUUGGAGACUUGUGCUAUAAGAUGUCAGCAUGCCCAUGUGUUCUUCUCAGUCAGCAGCCUCUCUCUCGUCUUGGUCAGACUAAGCAUGCGGGCUAGUUCUCUGAGGAUUCCUUGGGCCUCGGGUUUCCUAGCAUUUCCUUGUGCCUAUGUGUUGCCCCUAAAAACUACCAAGCCUACGUGGUACACAUGCCAAGUAAUUAAAAAGCUAACUACGUCAUUCGGUUGUGUAAGGUGUGCCAACUCAACGGUCGACCUUGGUCGGUGAGUAAAAUAAGUUGAUGUUGCAUUAGGCGCACUGCUGACUUCUGAUUCUCGCGACUGCGGCCGAGAAAGGAACACGUCUCGGCCUUCAGGUUCUAGAGCCUGAAGACAAGGCUACUAAUUCUGCGAAGUUCAAUAUCAAAUUCAACUCUCAGGGUGUCGAAUGUAGUAACCUGGUAACACCUCACUUUACAAAAAAGGCUGAUGAGAUGACCUCUGCCAAUAAGGACUCGAAAAUUCUUUUUGACCAAGAUUUGAAUAGGUAACCAGUUGGUCUCGGAGCAGUGCUAUUUAUCCAAACUGAAGAUGUUCACAGGUUGCCUUCACAAUGAUGUUUAUCCAAACUGAAUAUGUGUUGACGAAAAAGGAAAAUAAAAAUCUCAAGGUUGUUGAGAGGUUUCGCAUAGAGCAAAAGUUUGUGCAGGGCAGUUUAUGUGUUGAAUUGGAGAGGCCUUUUUAGUCGUCUGCCGCUCGGUAUUAAUAGAAUCAAAACUCUUAGACGUGUUGUAGAAUCCAACCAGUGAACAUCCAACUAUCUUUGAUGAUAAAUCACAACCAUCCUUUAUCCCAAUCUCAAUUGCCGCAACAUCAAGUAAAAUCACAACUGGACAAAAUGGCAUAUGCCAUCUUUUAUCCCAUAUUUCCACGUGCAUGGGUUCAUAAAAUCAAUAGCACCUUUAUUGGCUAAUUAUCUAAGCAAGUUACCCCGUGCUGGAUAAGUAACCCAAUCUCCUCCACCUCAUUAACCAACCAACGAUGGUCAUCAGAUCAUCUUUAUCUAAACCAACUAACUUUGAUCAAAUUCCAAUGAUAAUACGAUCCCAUAUUUAUCUCCAUUGUAUUUGUAUAAAUGCAUGGAAGAUAGUCUGCCAUACUCUAACUCCAUUCAUGAUAGUCAUGCUAUCUAUCCAUGAGAUUGCAGCAGUAUUAAUUCACACGAUAUCGUAUCAAAUCACCACGACUUUAUCACCUAGUUGUGCUCUAGAUAAUUCAAUAUAUUAUUACGAGAUAAUUAUUAUGAUAAAAUUCACAAAAUUAUUCCUUAACAAUAACUAAAAUUAUUCUGACUCGGUCACCUAAUGGCUUAGAACUUCGUUCACUCAAUAGCCUCGAUCGUUCAGGCCGAUUGUGUAAUUUUGGGUCCAAACACUAUGUCCAUGGGUGGGCCCAAAAUUCCCCUAACUCCUUCGUCAAGGGGUUACUUGUUCACAAAUACGUACCCUCUAGCAAAUCUAAUUUUCAACCAAAAUAAUAUGACACACCCCAAACCCGAUAUCCCCACAUACUAGGGUAAGCAUGUGUUGGCCGACACCUGAGGGUGACGAAGCCAUUUUUAACAUGCAUACCAAUAAAAUAUGAAAUUAAAACAAAUUAAACCAAAGCAGAAUCGUGUUCAAAGCAUACAACUACUUAAGAAUAAUGUGAAAGAAUUAUAAUAGAAGGUACGAAUAAAGGAAUGAGUCAUACACUGAGAAAACUCGAAGAUGCCUAAGCGAAAGUGCCUGAUGCCGGGAUCAUGUGCCUCGAUCCUAACUCCUGAAGGGCGCAAAAACAGAAAAGAUGAGUGGACCAUAAUUUAUAUUAAUACUAAUAGUAAGAAAAUUGUUUUAUUUAUGAACGUAAUAACCUCCUGUUUUGAAAACACAUAUAUAAUACUACAUAUAUAUUUUAUGGAAAAACCCUAGCAUGCCAUGUAGAACAUUCGUAAAACAUGUAUGUAAAACCAGUGCUAAAAAAUGGUAAUCACGCCCGAAGGCAAUUCUGUAAAUCAUCUGUAAAUCUCGUCAGUGAAGUACUCAACUAGGGGUAUCAUAGUCACCCCAAGGCAGUACAUGUCCAUCACCCGAAGGUGAAGCUGAAUAACAUGUCCAUCACCCGAAAGUGAAGCUAUAUAACCUGUCCAUCAUGACACGCCCCGACCCUGAUAUUCCCCGAAUACCAGAAUAGACACGUGCUGGCCGACACCCGAGGGUGACGAAAGCCAUUAAUUGAUACAAAAGCUAAGAAUAAGAAAUAAAUAAGGGUUAUGAAUUUAAAAUACCAAGAAUUUAUAAUUUAGGAACGUGCUCAGAGCAUACAAUUAAACCUAAUCACUAAAAGGAAUUAAGAUAAAAUUUAAUGAAUAAAGGAGUGAGUCCUACAUUCGAGAGGAUCCGAAUAUGCUGCUGCAGAAGUGUUUUGACGCCGGGAUUAGGUGCCUUGAUUCUAAGUCCUGAAUGGGGGCGCAAAACAAAGGUGAGUGGACCAAGUUUAUAUAUAUAUAUAAUAAUAAUAAAACAAUUAUCAAGAUACUAACCCCCAAAGUUUAUAUAAAUGAAAACUACUAGCAUAAUAAGUGAUGAAUUUAAUAAAAAUCCUAGCAUGCCAAAGUAUCUCAAAAAGCCAUAUCGCGGAAAAUCAAAACAGUAAACGUCUCGUAAAUCGUCUCGUAAACGCGGUGUGCUGCUAGAAAGAUCACUGAAUAAAUAUAACUCCCGGCCCAAUGCCUGCACCUCAGUCUCUGUGCCCGUAGCCAGAGAUAACUCCCUCCCGGCCCAAUGCCUGUCUCCGUGUCCCUCAGCCUUUCGCUAGGGAUUAUUUCUCCCGGCCUACAUGCCAACACCAGAUCCUCUCCCCAGGCGGCAUAGUGUCCACUAGGUACGCACAAAUAGUUACGUCUCUCUUAAAUAACCACUUCAUAGCAUAGGUUACCGAAUAUCGUCUACGCUAUAAAGAGGGGUUCAAAAACAUGUUCUAGCAUCCUAUCGUCAUCUGUCAGAUAGUCUACCAGUUCAUGAUUUUUAUAGAAAAUACGAUAUAUAAAAAUAUAGCUCAAAAUAGGCUAACAAUUAAUUCCUCACCAAAACACGAGACGAUAAUCAAUAUAUUAAAACAACAGGCUCCACAUAAAUCAGAUCAUAAAUUCGUAGGCAUGCUAAUCAAUUAUGCAAUUAAACUAUGAAAUCAUGUAAUUUUAGAAGGGGUCCACUCACAAAUAUUCCUUAGCAGAAGAGUCGCGCGAAUAAGGAUUUAGAAUUUCUCCACUAGCAAUUUUACCUAAGAACAAGAAUGUAUAAUUAAUAAAAUGAUUUUUCUAAAAGAUUGGUUUUGAAUUAAUUUAAAUAAGGGAUUUGGGAUUGGAUGGGUUUAGGGUUUUUAAUGGGUUUUGGGAACCUAGGGCUCUAGAAUUAAAAGGGGAUGGAAAGGGGUUUGGGCAUUAAGCCCAAACAUAUAAACUUAGCCACACACGCACACGGGCACAAGGCCCUCAGGCCUCACUACAGAAAACAGGGCUUUAAGCCCUUGAUUAAAAACCGGCCCAAGGCCAAAACAAAAGCUAGGGCCCGAGCCCUUUGGGCUUUAAAAAAUUUAAAUAAUUAAAAAUAAAAAUGGAAUGGGUUAGGGUACUGGGCUAAGGCAAAACGGGCUGGAGGCCCAUGGGAAAGGAAAUGGGAAAGGCCGGUUGGCCUGUGGCUUGCCGAGAGAGAAGGCCGGAGCUGCUACAGCUCCGGUCACCUGAAAACUGGAGCUUCAAGCUCCGAUCUAGGUACGAACGUGAAGCACAAGGAGAGAGGAAGAGAUUUAUACCUUCCAAAUGUCGUAACUCGGUCGGAGGUGACCGGGAAAGUCCUCGGGGUGCACGGGUUCACCGGAAAAGUGGGUGUGCUCACCCACGACCGUUCCGAAGCAAAAACCUACGUAAAAAGGUAAGGUUCAAGCUUCUAAAUCACAACCAAACCAAGAACUAGGUACGAGAGUAAGAGAUUUGAGACCUACCCGACGGAAAAAUGGGGAAAACUCGCCGGAGCUUUGCUCCGUGCCGUUGAGCCGCAGUGCAGGGAUCCCUGGUUCGUUGCGAGCCUCUCUUCGAUGGUGACUCGGUCCUAGUGAGUCCAGGGGAAGAGAGAGAUGCGAGAGGUUGAGGGAGAGAGGUACGGGAUAGCUGAGAGGGAGAGAGCUAAGGGAGAGUUACGGGGGAGAGAGACGAAGAAGGAAGAGAGAGACCGGGGGAAAACAAAAAAAUUAUAAGGUGGGCCCUACGGGCUCACCAAUUAAGACCUUAAAACAAUUUUUAAAUAAAAUGGGGUUGGGGUGUUUCACAUCACCCGAAGGUAAAGCUAUAUAAAAUAGCAUACAUCCACACUGACACUAGCCGUGGCUAGUGAAGUUAUCCAACACUGUUUAUGGCAGUGAAAAUGGAGGUAUAUAAUAUAUCAUAUCUCACUCCUCCAUUAUCUGUGUCCUAUGGCCAAAGACAUAUAUACACGUGGUGUGCAAAUGUACCGUAUGAUAACCCACUAGGUUAGUACCAAAAACAUAUCUUAAAAUCUCAUAUCAAAACCAGAGCUCAUCAAAACUCAAAGCGUCAUCUCAUGAAUCCAUAAUAUAAAUCAUGAUCAAAAGCCACAUAAUUUGUAUAUGUAAAUCCAUAAUUCAUCACCUUUAGUGAAAUGUAGGUUUGAUAAAUAAUAACCUUCGUAAAAAUAAUUCAAAUAAUUCAAAUAAUUCUUAAUUUCUCUUAAACCAUAAAUAUAGAAAUCUAUAAAGGCAUAAUAUAAAUCCAUAAUAUAAAUCACAUUCAAAUCGUGAAAUAGAUCGUGCAUGCUAGGCUAAUAUUUAUAAAACAUAUAGUUUAAGAAGGGGUCCACUCACAAAUUUUAUUGCCUGAGAACCGCUCGAACUAGUGAGGAUGACGUCGUUUCCUGCCAACGCGCAUAAACACAAUUAGGGACCUUUUAGUAAAACUAUACCUAAACGAUAGAAUUUGGGAAUGGACGGUGGAUUUGGAUUCAGCACGUCGGAAAACCUAAGGAGGGACCUCUGGUUUUUCCCCCACGUGCUGCCGCACGUGGCAGCCGGCCACCCCGACUCGUCGGAAAAUCGAACAACUCCAAAAAUUUUCAAAUUUUACAAGAAUGAAGAUCUCAAUGAGAAGAAUAACUUUUGUACCUGGGCCGAGUCCAAUUCGGCCAAGAAACACCCCCAAUCACCCUCGAAUCGUCGGAAACCCUAAAAUAGGUGAACCCCGAUUCGUCGAAUUCGUAGCUCCACCGCCCCCAAACUUGUUUGGGCUUUGAUCCAGACCUCGAAGGGAGUUGAACAAGGGUAGUGGUCGAUGGCGGUGCUUGCAAAAACGAUAGAUUUUUGCCGAUCUUCCCAUGGUGCCGCCGGUGGUACCCUCACGAAACCAAGGUUAAAAAUUAGAUUUAGGGUGGAACUUGAAGAAGAAGGUCGUGGAGUUGGUUCUAGGUGGUUAAGUGAAGUGAUUUGCUGAAAAAACAAACGAAAAACCGUCGGAUUCCAUAGUUACCGUUCGGGUCGAGUUGAAAAAUGAGAAACGGGUCGUGGAUCCUGUGGUUCUCAUCUCCCUCAUUUCCCCUUCCUUCUUUCUUCUCCCAUUGGUCAUCAUCCAUCCCCUCUACCCUGGAUUGGUCCUCAUCCCCUUCUUUCACUCAUAUUUCUUUCCAUCUCAACCGUAUUUCUCCCUCAUUUCUCUUCUUUCUUUUCCAUCACAGCCACACAUGUGGCAUCAGAUUGGUGUUCCAACAAAAUUUGGAGCCUUCCAAAUAUAUCGUCAAAUGACCAUUUUGCCCUCAACUUUGUUCGUUCAUAACUUAUUCGUUAUAACUCCAAAAUACGUUCGUGUUCGUAGCGACAAAUACUACGAGUAUACACCAAGAAAAUGGAUCUUACGUGACAUGAUAAGGCGGUCAACAAAAGUUAACGUAUUAGCCUCGAAUGGCAUUUUCGUAAAUUUCGUAAAUUUUCAUAAAUUUACAUUUUAAAAUGAAGGUUUCCACUUUCCAAGAGGUCAAAGGCAGUAAUAGGACCGGACUCCACCUUGGAUUAUGUGAGAAACAUGGGGUGGUGGGUUACAUAGAGUAAUUAAUUGGUUUUCAACCACCCACCGCUGAGUUGUCUAUUUUUUAUUUACUUAUCUACUUAAAAUAAUGUUUUAUGAGGAUAUAUAAAUAAUGUUUUGUUGUCUUCUAUUUUAAAUUACCAUAUUAUCUACUUAAAAUACUCACAUAUAUAUGUAUGUUCUUCUUUUAAAAAAAAACAUAAUACUCAAUAAUUAUAUAUUAAAUUUAAUUAACCUACUUUAAAAGAAUGAUAAAUUACCAUAUUAUCUACUUAUCCCCUUAAUUAACCUUAAUAAUUAUAUAUUAAAUUUAAUUAUCCUAUCUACAUUACUAUAUUUCCUUAUUUUCCUCCUAUUUUGCAUUUUAUAUGGUUUUAAAUUGUCAACUUAUUGUACAUGUGUCAUCCGACAAUACUCCUCACUAUGGUUAUAUGACAGACAUGCUUAAUUUGUUUAUAAAAUUUGGACUUGUUGGAUACUCUUUUUGCAUUUUAUCAUUCUUUUAUUAUCUUAUCCAUGGAUUUCAUACAAGUAUAAUUUUUUGUAAGUAUCAAUAUGCACUUAUUUACAAGAUAUACAAGAAAUUUACUUAAAUCCUCCUAGGCCGCCUAGGCGCUAGGCGCCAACCCGCCGUUCGACUAGCGCCUAAUGUUUUUUAGAACCUUGGUAAAAGAGUAACAGAGACCAAAAAAAACCACACAUAAAAUGAAUGCAGAGGAUUUAAUCACAUACGUAGACAAAGAGUGGGGCUAGCUGUGACUAUUUGUUUUGGUAGUGUAUAGUGUGUAUAGCAGCUGAUGAAAUAGACAGCUCAUAUUAGUGAACUUAAGUCCCUCAUGAUUCCUUGAAUAUCACGCAACUGCGAACACAAGACUUAUCUGCAUUUAUUGAGGUCAGAAAUGGGGAAGUGUAUAUAUAUUCUCCCGCAUAGGAUCGAUGGAUUACAAGUUUACAAAAAACACCAUGUAGAGCACAAGAAUGUAAAUUUAUCUGCCCAAAAUAAAUUGAUCGAGUGUUAAAACACGUCUAUUAAGUUAUUAGUUGGCAAUGCUCACAGUUUGUAAUGAAGAGUUGGUCAUCUGGAGCUUCCAUUAUCAGUUAAAAAAAACUCUAUGUUGAAAAUGAUGAUCCAAAUUAAUUUUUAGGCAUGCAUUAGGCACACAUGCCAGCUGAAUUGAUCAGUACAGGGCCAUUUUCUGAAAAUCUCGACAUCAAGGUUACUUGUUCACACAUACGUAAGGAAGUAAGAUUUUUAGAGAAGAAAAAAUGUUACCACAAGAUUUUGAGAUUUGAUAUGUUGAACUAUGUAUUACAACGAAAAACUUAUAAUACAAACGUUGCAAAUUACAUAACGUAAAAAUAAGCGAGGAGAAUAUAAAAGCCCCCCCCCCAACCCAAUUAAAUUUUAUCAAUAAAACGCCCUAAUGAAGAGUAAGAAGAACCACCAUCCACCAAGGCUUUCUUGCUCUUUUCACUCAUCUCCUUCACUCUUUUCCUUACAUCACUGUCAAGCUCCAUCACUCGCCUUAUCCCUCUUUCUAUGUCUUCUGCGCUCACCACCACGUCGCUGUCCCUCCGAUAAUCCAUCUUAAUCUCCACUGCCAAUCCCAACUCCACCACCAAUUGAAAGGCAUUCAGGUUUUGCUCCGCGUACAAUGGCCAUGCGGCAAUCGGCACGCCAUUCCAUAAACUUUCCAACGUAGAAUUCCACCCGCAAUGUGAUACAAACCCUCCGGUUGCCGGAUGGCCUAGGAUGGCCGCUUGCGGGGCCCAACCAAUCACCUUCCCAACCGUAGCCGUCCGAUCAAGAAACCCUUCGGGCAAGACUGUCUUUAGAUCCUCGUAGUCGCUUGGCAUAGCUCUCUUGCCUUGAGGUGGGGGCCGGCGAAGGGACCACAAAAACCGAUGUCCGCUGUGCUCUAGCGCGCACGCUAUCUCUUUCACCUGGGCCUCACCGAAACUUCCCAUGCUUCCAAAACACAGGAACACGACCGAGAAAGGAGGCUGAUCAUCAAGCCACCUCAAGAUAUCCGAGGCCUUAUCUUCAUCACUACUUUUGAGGUUCAAUAAGGGUCCCACUGGAUACACGGGUGGGAUUUUAUCACCAGAAUCAAGAUAAUGAAGAGCAUGCGAUUCUAGCUCCAUGAAUGUAUUUACCAAAAUGCCCUUGGUUUGUUUAUACUUGCUGACGUGGUUGAGGGUUGAUUUGGUGCUCUCCAUGUCCAGAAGCGAACCAGGCAAGACUGCGGCAGGGUAAGGGUUGAUGAAACUCGGGACGGCCAACUCAGCGGUUGAGCUCGUCAACUCAGUUAUAUCUAUGCCCCCCCUCGUCACGAAGCGAUUGAAAAUGGGACAUAAGUGCAAGAGCCGAAGCGUUGGAGGUGAAGAACAGGUAGGAGGGAACCUUAAAUUCGUUGGCCACGUCAAUUAGGCUUGCGGAAAACAUGUCGAGCACGAACCCGGCAAGCCGAGGCUUCGACGUCGACUCAGACUGAUCUGACUCGGGGAGUACGUUGAUAACGGCGUCUCUGACGUGAGAUUUGUGAUUUUCGACGAACAUUCUGAAGAAGGACCCGGGAUUGGGGACAAUGUCUUGUUUGUCCGGUUGGGCUUCGGGGAGGUUGACGAAGUUGAUGCGGUGAGAGAUUGAAGAAUCAGUGUUGGUGAAUGGUUGGGCGUAGGGAAGCUUCAUGACGAGGACUGUGAUAAACAGUUGGUCGUCCCGAGCAGCGAGUUGCUUUGCCAUCUCGACCGUUGAUACGAUGUGGCCGAUGCCUGGGGCGGGAACGAACACUAGUUGUGCUGGUCUCUUCAUCUUUUGAGAAAUGGCAAUGAAAAUCUGAGCUGUUUUAUUUAGAAAAACUCUUUCAUUUUUAUACGGUGAUACGGUGUGAUGUCAUGCCUUCGCUCAUAGUUUCUGAAUUUCAAGUCAAGAUCUUAAUUACUUUCAGUACUGGAAGGACUUGGGCAUCAAGCUUGUCUGCUUGAGGAUAAAACUAAAGGUUAUCAAAUUUGAUUUGUCAACUACUGGUGUAACAUGUGUGACACGAUUGUUUCGGAAAUAUAAAACAAAAGGAUAUUUUAAAAUACAUUUAACCAACUGCUGAAAUCAAAUAGAAUCAAAUUUAAUGGUAAAAAAAAAAUCUCACGGUCCAAAUUUAAAUUUAACAGCUAAAAUAAUUUAAAAAAUAGGCAUUUUGAUUCAAGUCCAAAAUAUUCAGCUAUUUUCAAAUCUAGUCCAGUUUUAUUUAAUUUGUUAUUAUACCUGUUUUGCCCCUUAGAGUAAAAAUAAAAAUAGAUUUAAAUUUCUUAAAUUUUAAAUUUUAAAUGCCUUUAUCUACCCACUUUCUAAUUGAAACAUUUUAAAAAUUCAUAUACAACAAAUAUGAUAAGUUUAUUAAAAAUUAAAAAUUUGGAGAGGUAAGAAACCUGUGAAAUCAAUAUAAUUAAUCUAUAAUAUAGGUAUAUUAUAAAGAAGAAAAACAUGUGAGGUAGAUUAUGAACAAAAACCUAUGAUAUAGGUCUACAAAAGUAUUGUCUACCUCAAUAUAUACCUAUUAUAUAGGAAGACAUAUACUUUAUACCUAGAAAGCAGAUAUACUCUACAAACUAUGAGCAAAAACCUAUGGUAAAAGUUGAUAAACAUUUAAUUUGAGAUAAGUUAUAAAAAAUAUAAAAAAACAUGUGAUAUAUAUUGUGAAAUCCCGUUUCUGGAUAUCAUUGUUAUAAUCCACAUAUUCGUAUUAUUGAGACUUUAUAUUAUUUUACAAGAAAUUAUAUUAAUUUAUUUGAAUUUAGAUUUUAAAUUAAACUAGUUACGAAGUUGAAGUUUGGAAAUUAAUUAUCUAAAAUUCGUAGACCUUUCUAGGUCACAAUUUAUAUUUUUGGAUAGAUCUCGAAACCACGAACGCAUAGGCGAAAGCCGUUUGCGAGUCCGGAUUAUAAUGGUAAAGUUGCGGACAUCUAAAGUUGUGUUUCUAGACUAUAGAUUUUAAUUUUCUUUAAAACUCCCCGUGGAAAUGGUGACCAAGGAAAAAAAGGGAGGACCAACCCAAUUCAUGGGGGAGUUUAAGGGAAUCAAUCAGGAAAAAGAAAAGAAAAAAAAAAAGAGGGGAGUUGCGGGAGAGACGGGAAAAAAAAAAGGGGGGAGAGACCAACUGGAGGAGGGGAGAGGAAAGGGAAGAAAAUGAGUGACCAAUGGGGGAAGCAGAAGGAGGGAAAGGAAAGAGGGGAGGAAACACACAACCCGGACCCCCUUCCCCUUGACCCGACUUUCCUCGACCUGACCCGCACUACAACAAAUUCAGACGGGUUUCCCGUCCAUUUUUCCGGCGAUUGACAACCUUCCACCCCUACCAAACAACUCCCCAGCCCUCCCUCUUCCAUUUCCACCCGAAAUUAGAAGGAAUUUGGUUUUGUUUUGGUGGAAAACAACGCGACGAGAUUUAUGGGUGUUGGCGGCAAUUCCACCGUUUUUGUAGAUAUCGCCGAUGACCACCACCCUUGUCCAACUCCUCUUGAGGCCUGGAUAAAAGCCCAAACCAGUUUGGGGGCGGCGGAGCUACGAUUUUGACAAAUUGGAGAACACCCAAUUCUAGGGCUCCGACGGGUUUAUGGCAAUUGGAGGCUUUUUCCGGCCAAAAUGGACUUGGCCACAAGUAUAAAACUUGCUUUACUCAUUGAGAGCUUCAUUUCUGUAAAAUUUGGUAAUUUUUAAAAAUAGUUGAAUUUUUCCGACAAGUCGGGGCUGCGGGUGUAGUGGCGGCCUGGCCAAUGGGUCGAAGACGUCCUUUUAAGUUCAAAUAAAUGCCUUGGUUUCAUAAUUAAUAUUUGUAUGACGUAAUUUGAUUGUUUGGACUUAGUUCAUUACGAUACCUUACUUGGUCAAAAUAUAAAUCAACGAUCCGACCAUUGGAUCGUCACCAAACCUUAAUGCGUGAUAGAACAUAAUAUUUGUGCAUCAUAGAAACUUACGGAUCGGGAAUCCGACGUAUGAAUCUUCCCUAAUUGGAUUUCUAAGUUGGUAAAAUAAAUUGUUGACCGCCACUUAAUUCUAGUAAUUGGUGGAGAUCCGAUCGUCGGAUCGCGAUGGGAAUUUAGUAUGUUGUUCUAGAAGCAUAAUGUGGACUUUGGGAAGUUAUGGAUCAGAAAUCCGAUGUGUGGAUCUUUAGGAUCAAAUUACGUAGAGUUGUGGACCCUAUCGUUGACCAAGAGUUGAUUUGUGGUCAACACGUCUCGAAACGUUUUAAAUAACAAAAUUAGUACUUCGGAACUAAUUCAAGUCUAGUGGGCCUAUAUUGGUGAGAUAGUGACUUGAAUGCAUGAGAUAUAAUUAUUAUCUUAAUUUCUUAUAUUAGUAUCAUUUGUGAAUAUGAAUUGGUCUUAUAAAUAUGAUUUCUAUUGAAAUGUGAACUUUAUAUAUUUAGCCAUAGACCUAUGCUAAUUAAAUAUGUUUUGGCUUGUGUAUUGAUGAUGUUUGUGGUAUCUAUGUGUUUAAUUAACUUUUUAAUAAUGGGAAUGACAAUUAUGGGAUCUAAAUAUUGUUUGAUAAUUAAUUGGGUAUGAUUGCCAAAUGAAUACCUAUUCGAACUUGGCAUUAUUACCUAGCAUGAGAUGGAGAUGAAAUUCAGGAAAUGAGUUAGGUACUUUAUUAGAUUUUUAGUAGAAAUAGUAAUUGAGGGAAUUCCCUGUGUUGUGCUCCAUAUGACUAGAUGAUGGUUGAUAUGUGGAAUCGAUAGCAUGUAUGUGUAUAACUAUGUAUAACUUUUAUGCUUGUAUGAUAAGAUAGUUAGUGGUCAUGAGAAGUUGAUAGUGCAAGUGAUUCCGUUGAGUGAUGGUUCGGAAUCAUAUCCUUGUUUGGAUUCCGUUGAGUGGUCCAAAGUCGCAUCACUUUACUUGUUGGUUUCUUAGAUUUGAUAUCAGCUACAGAGAUGUAAGCUUGGCUUAACUGUGUCACUCUAGCCUUAGUUUUAGUAUAUUUGUGAGCAAUGGUUUUGAGAAUCUUGUGGAUUGAAUUAGAAAAGCUGUUGAACGUUUGGGUGACUCCUUCAAGAUUUUCUAUGAUUUCUUAAAGUAUGAAUUUAGAAGAUAUGGUUAUAGUUGUUAUUAUUCUGGUCAAAUUAGUUAAUUAGUAUGGAUAGAGAAUUGUAUUGUGCUUCGUCGGUUCUUUGAUAUGAUAUAUGUUGUGAAUUGCGGUAUCAUGUUGCGACAUAAUGACUUAUAUAGAAGAUGGAAGGGAAAUCAUGAUUUUCAGGUGGGUUUGUUAUGUAACCCUGAGUCUAGUAAUUUCAUGGUUGUCAAGUUAUAUUGAUUGAUUGAGAAAUGUUAUGCCUUUCGGCUUAAACGGACUGUGUUAUAUGUCAAUUGUAGUGCACGAUGAACUACGAAUGGCUUGAUCCCUAGGUAGGGUACGUAGGCAGUCUAACGAGAAGCUUACAUGCAGCCAUAAAGUGCACAAAUUUUACUACGCAAUUCGAGGCAUGUGCUUGCUAUAUAUCUCGGAGACGAGUAUGUUAGAUAUAUGGUUAUUUGAUGACGUCACGUGUCAAUCAUGGACGUACGUCAGGAUCGGGACGUGACAUAUAUAGUUAGAUAAAAUACUAUUAAUCUAUAAUACUAUUAAUAUAUGUACAGGGUAGAUUGAUAAAAUAAAAAAUUCAAGUAGAUAAACACCAACGAAACCAAAUGUGGUAUCUGGAUGACUUUCCCACAUCAUACCUUGCAUAUGAGCCACAAUGUUUAGUUCACUUUGGUACCGUUUGGUACGCAGACGGGACAGGACAAGACGGAAUGAAACAAAGGUUCCAUGUUAUGUUUGGUACGCGCAGGAUGGAACGAGAAGAUUGUUCCGUUCUGCGUUUGGUACUCGUUGGACGGAACGGAACCAAAAGAUUAAAUGACUAACUUACCCUUGUUCCAUAUGUUGUUUGGUACAAUGUUUAUGCGUGGGACGGGACGGGACAAUUUUAUUUUAUUUUAUUUUUGAACUUGUUCAUAUUUGAACACAUAUAUGCUCAUCUAUGAUACAUUUUUUACACUAGCACAUGGCUAAAGAUAUAUUAUGCCAUGACCACCGGUCUGCAAGCAUCUCUGGUCCUCGCUGACAUUGCGAAUUCAAAAAUAAGCAAAGAAUAAACAUUGUAUAACUGGAGCAGACAUUCGGUAGGGAUUCAGAUAAACUUGAUCCAUAUUAAAGACGUCUUAGUUGCAUUCAAAUUAUUUGCCCAAUAGCAGAACAGUUUUACACGUUCUCCUUAAUCUAAAUAUAUAAGCACAUAACAAAUUUAAACAGUAGGGCAUUGACAAAGAUCGACUCCAUGCUGUGGAACUUAAAUCCACUAGGAUAAAUCAUGAACAAAAUUAACACGACCAUAGGUCAAACAAUACAUCAGUCGUGCAGUGUUCCCAGUAUAUCCUCAUCUCGAUAUAGAUGGUACCUAAAACAGCAAAAAAUAAAUAAAAAAUAAUGAGCAUCUAAUCGGACAAAGGAAGUGAAUGUCGAAAGAAAUAAUACAGAAGUAAAUGUUCUCAAAACUGCAUCUAUUUCUCAAUCCUGACUAGUUUCACAAGUUCUUGUAACAUACGUAACAUAGUAUGCAUUCUCAAAUGUUGUUCAGUGUCACACACAGAAAUCCAAAAACACAUGCUAACUAAAGCACACCUCUGCUUUACUGCAAAGAUGCCUACUUGAGUCAAUUCGCCAAAUUGUAAUCCUAGUAAUAAUACACAUACAAUGGAUAAAAGCACACCUGUUUACAGAGAGCGAUAAAAAUAAGACACAUACAUACAAACCCCAUGGACAGUCAUUCGUGUAAGAGAAACAAGUAACAUUUCACUAUGUAUUGUAUCCAUAUGUUGGUUUAUCUGAAUGUCGCAAAUUUGCAAGAUCCAUGUGUUGUAUCUCACUGGACAAAAUAGAUAACAUUUCACUAUGUAUUAUCCAAGUACUACAAGGUGACAAAAUAGAAGCUGAGAAUCACUUGAAUGAACUUACUAAUGUGAUCAGUUGUCCUUUCUUCUUGUCUGUCUGCCUUUGAGCUUUUAUUCAGUUGAUAAGAUUCUUCAACAAAGUAGAGGGUAUGCACCAAAACCUAACAAAGUUAGACCUUAAUUAUUAGAUACAUACGAACAAGCAUCAACUGUAUACUCAACCUAUAAAAGAAAGGGCAAUCGAAAUAAAGAAAACACUAGAGCAGAAAAUUCCACCUUCCACAAUUGCUAAAUUAAUGUAUGAGUAAUUACAGCAAUAUUGGCUUCUAAUCAAUGUGACAUAAACCUCAAAACUAGCUAGAAGACUGAAUCGCAUUCAUAAUUCCACCAAUAUACGACAUUCAGAUCAACCAGCACAUGGAUAUGGCAUAAAUUUACUUGACCAAAACCCUACAGAAUGAGAUUACUUUACACUGGUGAGGGUAGCAUCUGGAAGUGAAAAUGAUAACCAAACUGUUGCAAAUCUGCAAGAGCACAUAUUUUCUAUUUCUACAGAAAAUUUAUCAACAUUAUUAGUUCUUUUCACCAUUUAAUUUCCAUAACUUUCGUGCUACUAAACACAAAAUAAACAUGACAGAAAAAACAUACAGAUUAAGAAGCAAACUUACUCGAAUUGAUAGGCAUAAUCGACGAGGUCGAUGUUGGGAAUAACAACAGGGCCUCUCGAAGGACAUGCACGAAACGAUUUUCUCAGAGGAAGACGAUUGUUCUCUGCAGGAUCAAACAUUCUCCUAAAACAAUAUGACUGAUUUGUGGAUCAAAUUAAAACCCAGAAAUCCCAGAAAUAAAUCAGAAUGCAGAAAUCCCAGAAGUAAAUCAAAACCCAUAAUCGAUUAAACCCAGAAAUCGAUAAAAACCAGAAAACGUUCAAAACCCACUAAUAAUUUCACAAAUCUUCAAAACAAAAUCGAAGAAAAUGAAGAAGAGGAAGUGGAAGAGGAAGCCCUGAGAGCUACAAAAAAACAGAUUGAACCUGGAACGGAGAUGCAGAUCUGAAGAUGCUACACGGAAGAGGAUGAGGAGGAAGGUUCGCAGAGCUGCUACACGGAAGAGUUGCGAAGGGGAAAUGCAGAGCUGCUACACGGAAGAGGAUGAGGAGAAAGGUUGCGAAGGGGAGAUGCAAGGGUGAAGAGGCUACACGGAAGAAGAUGAGGAGUAAGGUUACGAAGGGGAGAUGCAGAGGUGAAGAGGGUCAGCGGCUGAGAAGAAGAAAAGAUAGUUUUUAGGGUUUGUUGUAUGAUUUUGAUGAUGUAAAUUUUGAAAAAGACAAGGAGCAUUUUUGUCUUAAAAUGUUAAAAUUUUCUGUCCCGCGGACGUGGAACAACUCGUUCAGAGGGGAGGUGGAACAUAAAAUCAUUCAAAACUUGUCCCGUGAAACAGCCCGUUUCACUCGUUUUAGGUGCACCAAACGUGGAACGGAACGCAUCGUCCCGUUCCGUUCCGUCCCGUCCCACGUACCAAACGCGACCUUUAAGCAUGAUUAAAACGGACACGAGAAUUAAAUGCAAAAAGUGUCAUGCAUCAUUCAAAACAACACCCAAGUAGAAGAAUCAUCAUCCUGUUGUUGUAGAGCAACAAGUACCAUGAUAGUAUGUUUGAGUUUCUCUCAGAAAAGUUGUAGCGCAACCACCUUCAACUCAUGGUGGAGCAACAAUGCAGUCUUCCAUGUUGCAACAACUUUAGCAUAAAGGGGGAGGAUACUCCACCUGAUGCCCAACAGCAGACGCAAUAGACAUCCCCUUCUCAUCCCUCAUAUAUAAUCACCCCAAAAUCACCCAACCAAUAAUUCUUACGAGAAAGUUUAAGUUAUUAACAGAUUAGUUCAAAUCCUAUAAUUAAGGAAUAUGUUCAAUUACUAAUCCUAAAACUAAAGGAUUAGGUGCAUUUACAUAUUUAUAAUAAUUUAUAAUCUUAGGGGUAUAUUGGUGUGAAAAAAGUAAAUAUGUUGAUGUGAAAUCCUAGUCAUCAAACCUAUUUCACAUGACACGCUCCGACCCUGAUAUUCCCCGAAUACCAGGAUAGACACAUGUUGGCCGACACCCGAGGGUGACGAAAGCCAUUAAUUGAUACAAAAGCUAAGAAUAAGAAAUAAAUUAAAAAUUUAGGAACGUGCUCAGAACAUACAACUAACUAAAGUUCUAAAAGAAUUAAUAUAAAAUUUAAUAAAUAACGGAUGUGGUCCUACACCGAGAGGACUCGAAUAUGCCAAAGUGAAGACGUUGACGUCGUGAUCGUAUGCCUCGAUUCUAAAUCCUGAAAGGGGGCGCAAAACAAGGGUGAGUGGACCAAGUUCAUAUAUAUAUAUAUAUAUAUAUAUAUAUAUAUAUAUAUAUAUAUAUAUAUAUAAUCCGAAAACAGUUAUGAACAUACUAACCCCCAAGUUUAUAUAUAAUGAAAACUACUAGCAUAAUAAGUGAUGGAUUUAAAUAAAAAUCCUAGCAUGCCAAAAGUAUCUCAAAAAUCAUAUUACGGAAUAACAUCGCGGAAAUCAAAACAGUAAACAUCUCAUAGAUCAUCUCGUAAGCCCGGUGUGCUGCUAGAAAAAUCACUGAAUAAAUAUAACUCCCGGCCCAAUGCCUGUUUUGUGGUCUCUGCGCCCGUAGCCAGAGAUUACCAACUCCCAGCCCAAUGCCUGCUUCGUGUCCCUCAGCCCGUAGCUAGGGAUUAUUUCUCCCGGCCUAUCUGCCAACACUAGAUCCUCGCCCCAGGCGGCAUAGUGUCUACUAGGUACGCACAAAUAGUUACGCCUCUCAUAAAUAACCAUUUCAUAGCAUAAAGUCAUCCAUCGUCUAUACUAUAAAGAGAGGUUUCUAAAACAUGUCCUAGCAUCCUAUCGUCAUCCAUCGGAUAGUCUACCAGUUCAUGGUUUUUAUAGAAAAUACGAUAUAUUAAAAUAUAGCUCAAUAUAGGCCAACAAUUUAUUCCUCACCAAAAACACGAGACGAAAAUCAACAUAUUCAAUAAACAUGCUUAACAUAAAAUCAGAACAUAAACUCGUAAGGCAUGCUAUUCAUUUAUGCAAUUGAACUAUAAAAUCAUGUAAUUUUAGAAGGGGUCCACUCACAGUACUUCGCCGUCGAAAAGUCACGCAACUAGCAAAGACAGAAAUGCCACUAUAAUUGCCCCUAAGCACAUAAAGAGUCUAAUAAAUAAAACUAUAUAAUAGCAAUUGAAUUUGGGAAAACGGACAUUGGAAACGGAUUCAGAACAUCGAAUUACCAUAUAAGAAGGGUCCUGGUUAAAAAAAAGACUCGAAGGCCUUAAGCCUAAGGAUUUUGGGUUUCUAGAUAAAAAGGAUUGGGUUAAAAAAGGUUAGGACCUAUUAAGUUUUGGGUUUGGAUAUGUUAGGUACAAAAGGGGUGGUUUGGGCUUAAGCCCAAAUCCACACACACACGGCACACAACAUACACACACACACACACAUACUACACAAACACACACACACACACACACACUCACAGCCCAAAGGCCUCACAACCAAAAGGGUUGGGCUCGGCAGGGAAGGCCCAAAGGCCUUGGGUUUCGUGGGUCGCCGGACCCAAUGGGAGAGAAAGCCAGAAAUCGGCCUGAAACUGCACAACCUUUAAACGGCCAUAACUUUGUCACAACUCAACGAAAUCAAGUGAAACAAGAACGAAAGUUGUAGUUAUCGAAGAGAUGAAGAGAAUGGUACCUCGCACGACGUCUAACUCGCCGUGGUUUGGCCGGAAAACGCCUCGAAAGCUGUCGGACUCGCCGGAAACUGGGUAAGAUUCAAAUGAGUAUAACUUCUUCAAUACUCAACGAAAUUGGGUGAAACAAAAAUGAAAGUUGUAGUACUCAGGGAGAUGAAGAGAUUGAUACCUUAAAUGCCGGCCAACUCACCGCGGUUUGGCAGGAAAUGGCCUCGAAAGGGACAGUGCUCGCCGGAGGCUCCUGGGAUUUCGUCGUCCUUUCUACAACGAGAGAGAAAAUUGCAGAGGUUUUGAUGGUGACGUCCUCAGCAGAUGGUGUGGUUGAGUGUUGCUUAGGGAAAAGGAGUUGCAGGAUUUCGUCGUCCUUUCUACAACGAGAGAGAGAAAACCUGCAGAGGUUUUGAUGGUGAUGUCCUCAGCAGAUGGCGUGGCUGAGUGUUGCUCGGGGAAAAGGAGUUGCAGCGAGGGAGAGAGAUGAGGUUCGAGAGAGAGACACGGGAGAGUUGGAGAAGAGAAGAGAGAGAGAGACCAGGGGAAAACAAAAAAAAUCAUAAGGUGGGCCCCACGUGGCUCACCAUUUAAGAACUAAAACUAUUUUUAAAAUAUAAAAGGGGGUUGGGGUGUUUCAUCACAUAAAUGACUAUUUUUAAUUCUGGCUCACAAAAUAGGAUCUAUAUCAAUUUUCCCCUAAAAAAAAUUAUUUAACUCAAAAUUCACCAAAAAAAUAAUCUAUAAAUACCUAUGUAUUUGUUCCAAUAUCCAUAUAAAACUCAAUUUUCUCCUACAAUUCUUCCAAUUUAUCUUUCUACCAUUUCUUUCCAUUUCCAAAUUGUUCAACAUGGCAAGAGAGCAUAUUAGAGGUUGUAAUUGGACCUAUGAGGAAGUUGAAGGCUUGCUUUGUGGAAAGAUUUAGUGAUUUUUGAACAUUUAUUAGAAUUUAAAUAUUUUUAGAUCAAAAUGUUCAUAUAAUUAAUUUACGAUAGUCUACAUAAUUUUUUGGGUAAAGUACAAAAAACUACCUCAACUAUUGGUAUCACGACACUUUCAUACCUCAUCUUUAGAAUUUAGUCCAAUGUUAUACCUUCCGUUACUUGGCCGUUUACUUUUCAGUUAAAUGCUGACGUUACUUGAUCCGGAACCCACUUUUUAUUAAAAAAUUAAUAAAAUAUUAUUAAAAACUAAAAAAAUCAUUUAAUAAUUUUUAAAUAUUAAAAUAAUAAAGAAAAGUUUAAAAAAAAAUUAAAAAUCUUCUGUUCGUGCCCUUUCCCCUACCAUUUUCUCUCUCUUCUCCCCCAUCUUCAUCUUCUUCCCCCUUCCAGCUCCCUUCCUGCAACCCAGAAAAAAAAAAGUUAAAAAAAAAAAAUCCCAAGUUCGUCCCCUUCCCCAGUUCCCCCCUCUUUCUUCUCCCCCAUCUUUAUCUUCUUCCCUCUUCCUGUGACCCAGAAAAAAGAAGGUAAAAAAAAUAAAAAUAAAACAAAUUUGUCUUCCCCCUCACCCACCCUCAGUUUGUUCCCCCCCCCCCCCCGGAAGAAGAAGAAAGAGAGAGAGGGGAAAAAAACAAAAAAAAAAGGAAACCCAGUUGAAGGGUUUGUCCGUCCUUCCCCCCCUCCCCCCUUUCGUCCCUUCCCCCUUCAUCUUCUUCCCCUACCUGCUUAAUCUUCAACAAAAAAAAAAUAAAAACCCAUCAACCCCGAAACCCCAUUCCUGAAACCCCCCCCCCACCCAGAUCCCUCCACACCUGCAACCCAAAUCCACCACCCCUCCAAUCUGCAAAAGAAGAAGAAGAAGAAGGAAAGAAAAAAUAAAUAAAAAUGCCAGUUCGUCUGUCCAUCCCCCUCACCCUACCCAACUUGCAGAAGAAGAAGAAGAAGAAGAAGAAGAGAGAAGAAGGAAAAAAAAAAAAAAAAGGAAACCCAAAACCUAGUUCGUUCGUUCCUCCCCCCACCCCCACCCCCAUCGCACCCAACUUGCAGAAGAAGAAGAAGAAGAAGAGAGAGAAGAAGAAAAAAAUAAAGGAAACCCAAAACCCAGUUUGUCUGCCCCCCAACCCAAAACCCAGUUCGUCCGCCCCCCCCCCCCAACCCACCCAACUUGCAGAAGAAGAAGAGAGAAAAGAAAAGAAAAAAAAUAGGUAGGGGAAGAAGAUGGGUUUUCAAAUUUGGGCCGGGGGGGUUUGACGGGAUCUGGGGGGUGUGAUGGGAUUUGGGCGGGGGGGGUUCAGGUAUGGGGUUUCGAGGGGGUUGAUGGGUUUUCAAAUUUUAUUUUAUUUUUUUUUUUUUGUUCAAGAUUAAGCAGGUAGGGGAAGAAGAUGAAUGGGGAGAAGAGAGAGAGGGGGGAAUGGACGAAAGGGUUUUUUUUUAUAAUUUUUUUUUACUUUUUUUAUUAUUUUAAUAUUUAAAAAAUAUUAAAUUUUUUUUUUAGUUUUUAAUAAUAUUUUAUUAUUUUUUUUAAUAAAAAGUGGGUUUCGGAUCAAACCAUGUCAGCAUUUAACUAAGAAAUUCACGCCAAGCUAACGGAAUGUAUAACAUUGACACAAAUUCGUAAGAUGAGGUAUGACAUUGUCAAUUUUAAAAGAUGAGGUAUGAAAGUGUCGUGACACCAAUAGUUGAGGUAGUUUUUUGUACUUUACCCUAAUUUUUUUUUUAAAUUUAAUUUAAAAAAAAAAUUAGCCUAAGUUCAUUAUUUAAUAAUCUCGGGCUAAAAUUUUAGGCCAGAAGGGUAUGAGCAGAAAAACUUAAACAAAAAUGCUCCCAAAACAAAAAAAUUCAAAAACAACCCAAAAUAAUGCUGGGGUACUUUCAUGAUUUUAAUAGUAUUUUUUUAAAUAAUAAUUCUUUUUGUACAAUUUUUUUUUAAAUUAAUAUCUCACAAUAGGUUAGCAAUAAUAUAAUUCAAUCAGUUGUUCAUUAAAUAUUAUUUUCUCUAUUUUUAAACACUUUCAAAACAUCUUAAAAGGUGUGUAAUACCGGUUAAAAAAAAAGUCUUUCACACGCACAUAAUAAUGUGAUUAAAUUAGUUGUUAAAUGAUUUUUUUUAACAAACAAUAUUAUAUAUACUAAGGGGGAGGAGAUGGGCUUAGCCUCACAAUGAACUAGCAAUAAUGUGAUUUAAUCAGUUGUUUAUCAAAUAUUAUUUUCUCUAUUCUUAAUGUAAAUUCAAUAGAAUGUAGAUGGAAAUUGAAAUGCCGAAUUUAUUAUGUGAAUUUAACUGCUUUGAUUGGUUUGUGAGGGAUUUUUUCUAGCAUGAUCUAAGAUUAUUCAUUUAAUUCAAAUAUUUGAUUUUCCUUUUGUCAAUUCACGCAUAUUAUUACGUUUACAAUUUGUCAAUUCACGCAUAUAAAUAUGUUUACAAUGUGAAGAAGGCAGUUAUAAUAGCCUUCACGGGAAGACACAACACAAAACAUUAAGAUUUUCAAGAGUUCUAAGUAGAUCAACCAAUAUAAUACGACAAUACGAGUCACCCACGAGUAAGCCAAAUGGAAGAAAAUAAACUACUCGUGCAGGAUAUUCCAUGAAACGGUGUGAUAUCCACACACCCUUUUUUACUUCUCCCACACCUUUUUGGUUUUCGACCGUUGGAUCGGAUAAAUUGAAUAAGAUCAACGGACAGAAAUUAACAAGGGGUGUGUGAGAAGUAAAAAGGGGUGUGUGGAUAGCACAUCCCUUCCAUGAAAUCAAAGUAUCAUUUAACUAAGUAUGGCCAUGCGCAACACUAUAAUAUACAGAAAUCAUGCUUUUUUAAGUGACCCGAAUAUAUGUAUGAGGCGUCUUUGAGAUGGCAGCUUAUUAACUUGCUAUGGCUCAACCGCUAGUGUCCAAAGUUCACUACCAAAGACCAUGUGGACAGAUUUAAGCGCCAUCUAAAAAGAAUAUAACUUAGACAACUGCUGACCUGCACCAAAAGCUAAAUUAGCAAGAAAGUAAAUUCCAGCUGCAGAUACAAACAUCACGAUACAUCACAUAAACCUAAGAUGAAGCUAAACUCAAUAAAAAGACAUGCCCACUGACUUGCCAGAAACCAGCCAGUUUAGUUUUAGGAGAAUUCACACUUUUAAUCCAGUCCUUAACUAUGUAUUUUUAAGAAUCCUGAGAAAAUGCAUAUCAUAGACGAUUAAAGUUGGAUUGACAAUCACAAACGAUAAACUUACAUGAAGGGCAGUUUUCCAUGGAUAGAUAGUUCUUGUUAUGAUCCUGCAAAGGAGAUGCGAAACAGUUCAAAAAACCGCUAAUAUCAAUCCAACUACAUCCAGUCUCCUUCCUCAAACCCUUUUCCCUCAUUUGUUUCCUCACAGUAUCCACGUUUUCCCACUUGCCUUCCUCGGCAUACAUAUUUGAGAGCAAAACAUGGUAGCCCGUUUUGCCAUUUGCUGCCUCUAGUUCAAGCAAUUUCCCAGCAACAAUCUUUCCCAAUUCAAAAUGUUUAUGAAUUCUGCACGCCCCAAGAAGUGAGCCCCAAAUUUCCAUCGCAUCACCCUCUUCGCCCAACCCUUUGACAAACUCGUAGGCUUCAACCACUCUCCCAACCCUCCCUAACAUGUCAGCUAUAUAGCAAUAGUGUGCCGUUAGUGGUUUAAUAUUGUAUUCCCCUUUCAUUGAAUCGUAUAUCGAAAGACCUUCGUUAACCAAACCAGCAUAACUGCAGGCAGACAAGACCGCAACAAAGAUUAUGGCAUCAGGUGCAGUGCCAGAUUUCUGCAUUGAGUGAAACAAAGAGAGAGCUCUCUCACCCAUUCCAUUCUGACCGUAGCCCAGCAUCAUUGUGGUAUAUGUGACAGUGUUCUUCUCAUGGGAUCCAGCGAAAACAUUUUCAGCAUAAGUGACUGCACCACAUUUGGAAUACAUGUCAAUUAGAGCAGAUCCCACGAAGACGUUUUGGUCAAGGUAGUGGCGGAUAGAGAACCCAUGGAUUUGCUUAACCAUAUCUAUGUUUCCCACAGGAUUACAAGCUGGUAGAACUGAUGCUAAGGUCACAUCAUUUGGUAUUAUUGCUCAAGCAUCUGCCUAAAGACAAAGAAAGCUUCUUCAGAAAUCAUAGUAUUCCAUGAAACAACAUCCCUCUCAGGCAUCUUAUGAAAAAUUUUGAAUGACAUGUCAACAGAAUUGCACCUUGAAUACAUUACGAUAGUCGCAUUGAGUAAAAUAACGGGCAUCAAUCUCAAAUGCUUGAUGAUAAAAGCAUGCAGCUGUCCAGCUAAUUCCAACUGUUGCAUCUGUGAACAUGCAGUUAAAACUGAUAGGAAGGUCACCUCAGCAAGAAUAGCCAGUUCUGAGUUUACAGCUUGAAAGAAGAGGUCGAUCGCUUCAAUAGGACUGUUAUUUUGAACAUAUGCACCGAUCGUAGUGUUCCAAAUCUCUGUAUUUCUCUCCGAACAAUGGUCAAAAGUCUUCCUAGCAUAUUCAAGGCAACCAAACUCGGCAUACAUAAAUAUUGCCGAGCUCACAACAAACAAGUCAGUCACAUAUUCCCCACCCAACCUAAGAAGCUUACCGUAUAAAACACUCGCGUUCUUAUAGUCUCCCAUAGCGGAAAGUGCAGGGAAAACAUUGACAAAACUGACAGCACUCGGUCUUAUUCUCAUUCCCAUCAUCAUCCUAAACUGCUUCACUGCUUCUGCAUAUCUUUCCGUCUUAACAUACCACGAAACCAGCGUAUUCCAAGCAACCACAUUCCUCUUGCGCAUUGUAUCAAACACUCUACGCACUAAAUCAUACUGUGAAUAAUCAAAGUCAUAAUAACAAGCAGAGUACAUAUUCAAAAGCAAAUUACACACAAUCCUACUGGGUUCGGAUGACACCGAAGAACAUGGCAAUGCAGGGCUUACCCAUCUUGAAAUUGCGCGUGUCGGUGCAGGCUUUGAGGGUAGAAGAGUAAGUGUAAGGGUCGGCCUUGGUGCCGGGAGAGGCAGAUUUCAUCUGGGAGUAGAACAAGAGGGCUUCAUUGGCCAUGUUGUUGCAGAUGAAUCCAAUGAUGAUGGUGUUCCAGAGCACGGUGGAGGGGCGAGGCAAAGUAUCGAACAGUUGGCGGGCAAGGUGAGGAGGAGGGAUUCCUCCUGAAAAUGUUUUGCGGACGAUUCAUAAAAUUUCGUGCUAAUGAUCGAAACCAUUAAUGAUAUAAAUCAUUAUGGAAAGAUCAUCUUUAUAAAAAAAAAUUAAAGUAAUGGUUAUUAAGUCAAAUAACUGCAACAAAUAGAUAAAACAGCUCAUAAUACUAUUAACAAUUCUUACUAUAUAUUUUUACACAUUUUGAUGACAUAACGAUUUCAAGUGGUGAUCUUUACGCAACGACAUAUAAUAUGAACAAUUCUAACGAUAAACACAAAAUUUUGAGAGUCCGUUACAACACAUUUUUAGGAAGAUAUCCUUCUCAUCGUUUCAGUUGUAAAGUAUUAUUCUAAGCAUGUAUAUCAAUUGCAUGGCUUGUGGGAUGGGGGUGGUGUUUUAAUUCUUGGAUUUUUUUUCAUGUGGAGGUGAUGAUGUCAUGCCUUUGCUGUCAUUUGCUAAUUUUUUUUCAUGUGGUCUAUUAAUACGUUAGUGGUUGGCAAUGCUCACAGCAUGUAAUGAAGAGUUGGUCAUCUGGAGCUUUCAUUAUUAUUAGUAAAAAAACCUCUAUAUUGAAAAUGAUGUCAAAAUCAGUUUUUAGGCAUGCAUUAGGUGCACAUACCAGCUGAAUUGAUCAGUACAAGUUAGAUUUUCAAAGAAGAGAAAAUGUCACCACAAGACUUUAAGAUUCGAUACGUUGAACUAUGUAUUAACGGAAAACUUACAAUACAAACGUUGCAAAUUACAUGACGUAAAAAUAAACGAGGAGAAUAUAAAAGCCCCCCCCAACCCAAUUAAAUUUGAUCAAUAAAACGCCCUAAUGAAGAGUACGAAGAACCACCAUCCACCAAGGCUUUCUUGCUCUUUUCACUCAUCUCCUUCACUCUUUUCCUUACAUCACUGUCAAGCUCCAUCACUUGCCUUAUCCCUCUUUCUAUGUCUUCUGCACUCACCACCACGUCGCUGUCCUUCCUAUAAUCCAUCUUAAUCUCCACUGCCAAUCCCAACUCCACAACCAACUGAAAGGCAUUCAGGUUUUGCUCCGCGUACAUUGGCCAUGCGGCAAUCGGCACGCCAUUCCAUAAACUUUCCAACGUAGAAUUCCACCCGCAAUGUGAUACAAACCCUCCGGUUGCCGGAUGGCCUAGGAUUGCCGCUUGCGGGGCCCAACCAAUCACCUUCCCAACCGUAGCCGUCCGAUCAAGAAACCCUUCGGGCAAGACUGCCUUUAGAUCCUCGUAGUCUCUUGGCAUAGCUCUCUGGCCAUUAGGUGGGGGCCGGCGUAGGGACCACAAAAACCGAUGUCCGCUGUGCUCUAGCGCGCACGCUAUCUCUUUCACCUGGGCCUCACCGAAACUUCCCAUGCUUCCAAAACACAGGAACACCACCGAGAAAGGAGGCUGAUCAUCAAGCCACCUCAAGAUAUCCGAGCCCUUAUCUUCAUCACUACUUUUGAGAUUCAAUAAGGGUCCCACUGGAUACACGGGUGGGAUUUUAUCACCAGAAUCAAGAUAAUGAAGAGCAUGCGAUUCUAGCUCCAUGAACGUAUUUACCAAAAUACCCUUGGUUUGUUUCAACAUGCUGGCGGAGUUGAGGAUUGAUUUGGUGCCCUCCUUGUCCAGAAACGAACCAGGCAAGACGGCGGCAGGGUAAGGGUUGAUGAAACUCGGGACGGCCAACUCAGCGGUUGAGCUCGUCAACUCAGUUAUAUCUAUUCCCCCCUCGUCACGAAGCGAUUGAAAAUGGAAAAAAAGUGCGAGAGUCGAAGCGUUGGAGGUGAAGAACAGGUAGGAGGGAACCUUAAAUUCGUUGGCCACGUUCAUUAGGCUUACGCAAAAUAUGUCGAGCACGAACCCGGCAAGCCGAGGCUUCGACGUCGACUCAGACUGAUCUGACUCUGGGAGUAAGUUGAUAACGGCGUCUCUGACGUGAGAUUUGUGAUUUUCGACGAGCAUUCUGAAGAAGGACCCGGGAUUGGGGACAGUGUCUUGUUUGUCCGGUUGGGCUUCGGGGAGGUUGACGAAGUUGAUGCGGUGAGAGAUUGAAGAAUCAGUGUUGGUGAAUGGUUGGGCGUGGGGAAGCUUCAUGACGAGGACUGUGAUAAACAGUUCGUCGUCCCGAGCAACGAGUUGCUUUGCCAUCUCGACCGUUGAUACGAUGUGGCCAAUGAUUGGGGCGGGAACGAACACUAGUUGUGCUGGUCUCUUCAUCUUUUGAGAAAUGGCAAUGAAAAGCUGAGCUGUUUUAUUUAGAAAAACUCUUUCAUUUUAUAGUAGAAUGGUAUGAUGUCAUGCCUUCGCUCAUAGUUUCUGGAUUCCCUACACGUCAAGAUCUUAAUUAAUUUUCAUACUGGAAAGACUUGGACAUCAAUAGCAAGAAGAUAAAACAAAAGGUUGUCAAAUUUUAUUUUGGUUCCUCCACUAGCCGUAGUCUAUGGAUAAGUACCACCAAUUAAGUUUCACUUUUUAUUUUGGUACUUACGUUUCAUAUUGCCUUGAGUAGAAUGUUGAAGAAUUGAAAACCGACAUGGUUCACACGCGGUCAAGAUUUCAGUUACCAUUACUAAGCACACCAUGUUCUAUACAGUGGUUAUCUUUUCUUCUUCUUUUCUCAAAAGCAACGAAAUAUUCAUCGUCGAAUUAGAAUCUUGUUCACAAUUAGAAUGCUGGGGUUGGGGUUUGUUCACAAUUGGAGCAAUAGUAUAGGUCCCGGAAUGGAGAUACCCUUACCUUUAUCAUUCUUCUUUUGACCCUCAUUCUUGUCCUCAUCAUCCUCACUGUCAGGAAGAUUAUCAGAGUCCUCCAUCCUAACCAAAAUCUCGAAAUACUCAUGAUAAUCAGCGCAGGGAAGUGCAUUGGCAAAGGUACGCCACUUCUUCUUAGAUCCCAACUUGAAACGUCGAAGCAUCUCUCCCUGAUUACCAGCUAUAUCAGGGUCAUAACGAGACAAAUCAGUAAACCUUCUAUAAUAUUCAUGUGCCGACAUAUUUCUCUGUUUCAACCUGGUGAAUUCCUGUUUCUUACGAUCAAUAUACUCAGGAGGGACGAAUCUCUUCAUAAAAUUCUCUUUGAACACUUUCCAGUCGGCUGCCGUCUCAGGUGACAUGUACCUAGUCUGAUUCAUCCACCAUGCUGCUGGUUCAUGACCCAAAAACCAAGUGGUGGUCUCCACCCACCUAUUAGCAGGGAGAUUCCCCUGACUCUGCAUCACCUGGAAGGUCUUCUCAAUAUGAUCUAGCCGUUUCUCUGCCCCCUCAUGACUUUCAUUACCCAUAAACCGAUCUAACUUCAAGUUGUACAUGGUCUCCAGAGGUGUCCUCGGAGGAGGGGGAGGACGAAUCACAUUUUGUAAAGCCUGGGCCAUCGCUUCCCCUAGCUGAGUAAUAUCCGGGAAAUUAGGUUCAGAAGUACGGCGGGACUCCCUACGCUCCCUACGAGGCGGCAUGAUUCUGACAGAAAACAUCAAAAGAUCGUUAAGACAUUAACAAAUUUACAGGACUGCAACCUAAGCUCUGAUACCAAACUGACACACCCCGAUCCGGAGGAUCCAGGUGUGCUGGCCGUCACGUGGGCGUGACGUAACCAUCGGCGCGACACGGAAGCAAAAUAACAAUAUAACUCAGCAGAAAUUCAAACCAAACUCAAACAUAACCACCUACGAACAUAACCGGACGAGUUAUCAGGUAAACACAUAAGUUCAGAGCAUAGGUUAACUGCAGUCAAGUAGGUCUAAAAUAAAAUACAUCACCCUCAGGUGAGUCCUACAUGUCGAAGGUCUGUCAGAAAGCCGGAAAAGACCUCGAGAGCCACCAACCGCUAAUUUAGAACCUGGAGGGGCGCAAAACAAAAUGAGUGGGUCAGUAAAACCAAAGAUUUUCCAAAACAUUUCAAUUAAAACAUUUCUAACCCCUCACCGUAAAACCUGUAUACAUUCUCCAGAAAAAGUAGAUAUAUAUAAAACCAUAUGAAGUCUCAAAACUUAAAUCCCAAAUCUUUAACAUUUUUCAAGGAAACAUGCCAUGCAAUAAAUCAAAAUAUAAAUCAGGUGAAAUAAGGAAUCAAUCGGAGACCCUGCAGUUGGUCCUAUACGAUUAAUUCAACAGCUCAAUAUCCCACUAAGCCGGAGCCACCACAGUGACCUGUACGGCCCUACUCUGCACAUCACUCGGAACUACGUGAGGUAGUCUAUACGAUGAAAGGUGUAAAAAUACGCUCUAGUGCUUCUCUCAUCAUAUCAUCAGCGCGCAUAUCUAAGGUCACCCACCAGUCAGAACCCCUCUAAUGGUCUGUGCGACUGGCAUGUCGGAACCCUCACAUGGUCUGUACGACAUCCACCUACUUGGAUCCAAGGCGAGCGUGCGGUGUGGUGAAUAAAAUAAGCACUAACACCUAGGGUGCAGGUUAUGAGCUUGAAACAUCUUAUCAACAAUCAAUUAAAUGAAUAAUGAACUCACCUGACUUACCUGUGCCUCCACAGCACCAUGCAACAUGUAUGCAUCAUAUAUCAAUCAUAUAACUCAUAUGAAAUUCACAUUUUCCAAAUAAUUCUAUGCAUGGCAUUUUCAAAACAUAAUUUCGUAUAAAUUCAUCUUCUGGGAAAAAUUAAUAGUAUAACGGUAAUACGAAAACAAAACUGCCCACUCACUGAUAAGUCGACGGGUCGUAACCCCCGUGGCGUCCCUGGAUGCGGUCGUCCUCGGGAUACGUCUCACCUAUAUGCGAAAUAAAUAUAAAACGUUAAUUUUAAACACAUCACCAAUAUUUCGAAAUAAUUUCUCAUACGAUGCUCAAUUUGGGUAUAUGAAUAUACCACAUCGACCUACUCGACGUCACGAGCGUCGAGAAAUUUUUAGAAACUGAUUUGGACUCCCCACGCGCCCUCACGCGCCGGCUAGAGCUCGGCUCUACGCGCAGGCCACGCGCAGCCACGCGCAGCACGUGUCAUCGUCUUCCCCAGGGUUCGCCGGACUGGUUUUUCCGGCGACCCAAUUCCGGCCAAACUUUAAACCUCUUGUUCUCCUUCGUUUUUCACCCAUUUUCUUCGUAUUUUAUACCAAAUUGAAGCCCUAAGAGUGUACUAUCACGUUGGACUAGUUUUAGGGUCUAAAAAUCAAGAAAUCUCACCGAGCAAAAUCCAAGAAUUCGGCCAACUUUGAAACCCACGAUCCCGACGUCCAAAUCCUUCAAACGAACGUCCCCGAGCUUCCUUAGGACCUCACUAAGCUUGCUAUAAGCUUGAAUUCCCCUGAAACACAACAUUUUACGUUCGCAUGAACAGUACCCAAAAAUGGAGGUUUCGGAUUCCACGUGAAAUCGAAGGUCUCACUUCCUAAAACUAGCACCAAUGAACUCAGGACGUCAAAAGGAUGAAGAUACAUACCUUAUUUGCCUCGAUCCGUCAAGUUUUGAAGGGUUUUGGUGGUGGUCCGUACGUGGAGGGUGAGGGAAAGAGAGAGAUCGUGAGGGAGAGAGACAGAGAGUGCUACGGGAGGGAGAGAAGACAGGGAGUGCGUGUGUGUGUGUGAUUGUGUGGUCCAACACAAUCCUCACCAUCCAUCCAAAUCCCUAACCACAAAAAUUUCAAUUCCAAUAGUUUAAUCCCAAAACUUAACAAAAUUAAUUCAGAUAAUGUCACACACACACGUACCCAAAUGUCCGCCAAGGGUAAUUACGUCAAUUCACGCCCCCGAUAUAGAAAUCCCAGGACGGGCUGUGACAAUCUCCCCUCCUUAUAGAAUUUCGUCCCCGAAAUUCCCACAAUCAAAUAACCACUUAGUACCCAUAAAAUAACCUUGGGUACAUCUCUCUCAUCCGAUCUUCCGUCUCCCAGGUAGCUUCCUCUGCAGAAUGGUUCCUCCACAACACCUUGACCAAACUCACCGUCUUGUUCCUUAGAACCUUAUCUUUCCAAUCCAAUAUAGUGACCGGUUCCUCAUCAUACGUCAAAUCCGGAUUAAUCUCUAACGGUUGAGGAGGGAUCACAUGAGAAGGAUCAGAAAUAUAAUGUCGAAGCAUGGAGACGUGGAACACAUUAUGGACCUUAGAUAACUCCGGAGGCAGCUCUAACCAGUAGGCAACUUCACCAACUCUUUCGGUGAUCACAUAAGGUCCAAUGUAUCUCGGACUUAGCUUUCCUCUUUUUCCAAAUCGAACCACACCUCUCCAAGGUGACAAUUUCAAAAACACCCAAUCACCCACAUCAUAUACUCGAUCAGUAGUAUGCCGAUCCGCUAAACUCUUCUGUCGAUCCUGAGCUGCUUUCAAGUUUGACUUAAUUACCUAAACAUUUUGAGUUGUCUCAUCCAUAAUCCCAGGGCCUUCUAACACCCUUUCACCAACCUCAGACCAACAUAAUGGUGUUCGACACGCCCUACCAUAAAGUGCCUCAAACGGAGACAUACCAAUGCUUGAGUGAAAACUGUUAUUAUAAGCAAACUCCAUCAAAUCUAGACGAUCAUGCCAGGAAUCACCAAAUUGUAACACCGAAGAUCUCAACAUAUCUUCCAACGUCUGGAUGGUCCUCUCUGAUUGCCCAUCAGUUUGAGGAUGAUAAGCUGUGCUAUACAGUAAUUGUGUACCCAGAGCUUCCUGAAAAGCCACCCAGAAUUUAGAAGUAAAUCUUGGGUCUCGGUCAGAGAUAAUAUUUACUGGAACUCCAUGAUACUUUACAAUCUUUGAAAUAAACAACUUAGCCAAUUUAUUCAGAGGGUAUUUCUCCCUCACUGGAAUGAAAUGCGCUGACUUGGUAAGUCGAUCUACAAUCACCCAAACGCCAUCAAAUCCAUUUCGGGUACGAGGAAGUUUAUACACGAAAUCCAUGGUUAUAUUUUCCCAUUUCCACUGGGGAACGGGAAGUGGCUGCAUUCGCCCAAAGGGCUUCUUUUCUUUCCGCUUUAACCUGCUGGCAAAUAAUACAUCUACUCACAUAAUCUGCAAUUUCUCUUUUCAUACCCGGCCAAUAAUAAAAUGGUCGAAUGGUAUGGUACAUUUUUGUUCCUCCCGGGUGCAUCGCAUAAGCUGAACAAUGUGCUUCAUCCAGAAUUUCCUUCUUCAAUUCCUCAUUAUUCGGAACAUACAUUCUGUUUUCUUGCAUGAGCAUACCAUCUGAUUCCCGAAUUCUGAGGUCUUUCUUUUUCCUUUCACUUCUUAACUGAACCAACUCCUGAAUUUCUUCAUCCACCAUCUGAGCUGCAAGUAUACGAUCCACCAAAACUGGCCUGACUUGAAAACUAGCAAGAAAAGCUCCAUCUCGGUUUUCAAAUUCCAACCUUACCCCCGUUGUCCUCAAUUCAGCAAGAAGAGGAACACGACUAGCAUAUAAGGCAUUAAGCCUACCUUGAGGUUUCCUACUCAGUGCAUCCGCUACCACAUUAGCACGACCUGGAUGAUACUCAAUAGUACAAUCAUAAUCACUUAACAAUUCCAUCCACCUUCGCUGACGAAGAUUAAGAUCAUGCUGAGUAAAUAAAUACUGAAGACUCUUGUGAUCAGUGAAAAUCUUACACUUCUCACCAUACAAAUAAUGCCUCCAAAUCUUUAAAGCAAAAACAAUUGCUGCCAAUUCAAGGUCGUGAGUAGGAUAAUUUCUUUCAUGAUUUUUCAAUUGCCUAGAAGCAUAGGCAAUCACCUUAUUAUGCUGCAUCAAAACACAUCCCAAACCAUUUAAUGAAGCAUCAUUAUAGAUCUCAAAAUUACCGCUAUCAUCAGGAAGUACCAACACCGGUGCAUGGGUGAGGCAAUACUUCAAUUGCUGAAAACUCCGCUCACAAUUCUCAUCCCACUCAAAUUUAACAUCCUUCCUGGUCAACUUUGUUAACGGUAAAGCAAUCAUGGAGAAAUCCUGAACGAACCGUCGAUAAUAACCUGCUAAACCCAGAAAACUGCGUACCUCAGUGACGGUUCGAGGUUGCUCCCAAUUCUCCACCGCUGCUAUCUUUUGAAGAUCAACUUGAAUUCCUUGAGCCGAUACAACAUGCCCCAAAAAUGCCACUUCGGACAACCAAAACUGACAUUUACUGAACUUGGCAUACAACUGAUGCUCCCUUAAUUUCCUUAACACCAAAUUAAGGUGUCGGAUAUGAUCUGCUUGGGAUUUAGAGUAUACCAGAAUAUCAUCAAUAAAAACAAUAACAAAUUUAUCAAGAUAUUUCUGGAAUACCUCAUUCAUCAAUCUUAUAAAAGCUGCAGGUGCAUUAGUCAACCCAAACGGCAUAACCAAAAAUUCAUAAUGUCCAUACCGAGUCCGGAAGGCCGUCUUAGGUACAUCAUCUUCCUUAAUCUUCAAUUGGUAAUACCCAGAUCUCAAAUCAAUCUUAGAAAAUACACACGCACCUUUCAGUUGAUCAAACAAAUCAUCAAUAUGAGGCAAUGGAUAACGGUUUUUAAUCGUUACCCGGUUCAAUUGCCUAUAAUCAAUACACAAUCGCAGAGUUCCAUCCUUCUUCCUCACAAAUAAUACUGGGGCACCCCAAGGUGAAGAACUAGGUUGAAUAAAACCCUUAUCAAGUAAUUCUUGCAACUGGAUUUUUAAUUCUCUCAACUCAGCAGGAGCCAUUCUAUAAGGAGUCAGAGAUAUAGGGUCCGUACCUGGAAGCAAAUCAAUAGUGAAUUCCACCUCCCUGUCUGGUGGCAAUCCCGGCAAAUCAUCAGGGAAUACGUCCGGAUAAUGUCUGACCACACCAACUUCUUCUAUACUAGUGGGGGCAACCUCAUUUAACACCACAUGCGCCAAAUAUCCCUGACAACCCUUCGAUAACAAUUUCCUCGCCCUUAAGGCAGAAAUAACCCCAUGUCUCACCCCACUUCUCUCGCCCACAAAAGUAACCUCGGGUAAUCCAGGACGAUAAAAAGUAACUGAUUUACCAUAACAAUCAAUAUGGGCACGAUUAUGGUGUAACCAAUCAGCCCCUAAGAUUACAUCAAAAUCCACAAUAUCUAACGGAAUAAGAUCAGCGGACAUAAUCAUGCCCUCAACCAUCACUGGACACCCAAGAUACACACUAUCCACAUAACAUUUAUCUCCUCUAGGCAUGGCAAACUCUAAAUCAAAUCCUAGAGGUGAAGGGUGAGGUUGGGUCAUUUGAGCAAACGUAUGAGAAAUCACAGAGUGCGUAGCACCACAAUCAAUCAAAACCUUAGCAAAAUGACCAAGAACAUUUAACGUACCCAUGAUCAAGUCUGGAUGGUUCUGAGCCUCCUGCAGAGAAAUAUGAUUAACUUGUCCCUGAGCUUGCUGACGUCCACCUCGGCCUCUACUGCCCUGAUUACCUCGUCCCUGAGGAUUACGCCCCUAGCCUGGCUGACUAGGCUGCCUGGAUGAUCCUGCCCCACCAGUAGCAACUUCCCCCUGACGGGGCUGGCCUCCCUGAUGCCAUUGCGAUCCACCAACUGGCAUAGAGGAAUAAGAUGAAUAACCUCCAAAAUCCUGAGAAUACCCAGCCUGAGAAUGAGGCUCCUGGGAAUACUGAUAAGGUCCGGGAGCAUACGGAGCAGCAUCCCCCUGAUAGUGGUAGGCACCACCACGACUCGGCUGGCCAUAACCGCCUGAUCCAAAACUCUGCUGAACUGGUGCUGGAGGUGGCAUAGUGGUCUGUUGCGGUCUCUGCUGACCCUGGGGGCACUGAGAAGCCCGAUGUCCCAUCUGCCCACACGUAAAACAAGCACCAGUACCUCUCCUACACUCACCAUGGUGACGGAAGUUACAACGGCGGCACCAUGGAGCGCCAGAUCCACCAGCACCACCUGAAUCCCUCUGACCCUGAAACCUGGGUCCACCAGAAAAUCUUCCACCACCUCUCAUCGGGCCAGUAAAACUAUAUCCCCCACUAGAAGAACUCGAACUCGCUCCACUCUUCUUAAAAUUCUGUGUCUGCCAAGGUCCCGGAAUGGAGAUACCCUUACCUUUAUCAUUCUUCUUCUGACCCUCAUUCUUGUCCUCAUCAUCCUCACUGUCAGGAAGAUUAUCAGAGUCCUCCAUCCUAACCAAAAUCUCGAAAUACUCAUGAUAAUCAGCGCAAGGAAGUGCAUUGGCAAAGGUACGCCACUUCUUCUUAGAUCCCAACUUGAAACGUCGAAGCAUCUCUCCCUGAUUACCAGCUAUAUCAGGGUCAUAACGAGACAAAUCAGUAAACCUUCUAUAAUAUUCAUGUGCCGACAUAUUUCUCUAUUUCAACCUGGUGAAUUCCUGUUUCUUACGAUCAAUAUACUCAGGAGGGACGAAUCUCUUCAUAAAAUUCUCUUUGAACACUUUCCAGUCGGCUGCCGUCUCAGGUGACAUGUACCUAGUCUGAUUCAUCCACCAUGCUGCUGGUUCAUGACCCAAAAACCAAGUGGUGGUCUCCACCCACCUAUUAGCAGGGAGAUUCCCCUGACUCUGCAUCACCUGGAAAGUCUUCUCAAUAUGAUCUAGCCGUUUCUCUGCCCCCUCAUGACUUUCAUUACCCAUAAACCGAUCUAACUUCAAGUUGUACAUGGUCUCCAGAGGUGUCCUCGGAGGAGGGGGAGGACGAAUCACAUUCUGUAAAGCCUGGGCCAUCGCUUCCCCUAGCUGAGUAAUAUCCAGGAAAUUAGGUUCAGAAGUACGGCGGGACUCCCUACGCUCCCUACGAGGCGGCAUGAUUCUGACAGAAAACAUCAAAAGAUCGUUAAGACAUUAACAAAUUUACAGGACUGCAACCUAAGCUCUGAUACCAAACUGACACACCCCGAUCCGGAGGAUCCAGGUGUGCUGGCCGUCACGUGGGCGUGACGUAACCAUCGGCGCGACACGGAAGCAAAAUAACAAUAUAACUCAGCAGAAAUUCAAACCAAACUCAAACAUAACCACCUACGAACAUAACCGGACGAGUUAUCAGGUAAACACAUAAGUUCAGAGCAUAGGUUAACUGCAGUCAAGUAGGUCUAAAAUAAAAUACAUCACCCUCAGGUGAGUCCUACAUGUCGAAGGUCUGUCAGAAAGCCGGAAAAGACCUCGAGAGCCACCAACCGCUAAUUUAGAACCUGGAGGGGCGCAAAACAAAAUGAGUGGGUCAGUAAAACCAAAGAUUUUCCAAAACAUUUCAAUUAAAACAUUUCUAACCCCUCACCGUAAAACCUGUAUACAUUCUCCAGAAAAAGUAGAUAUAUAUAUAAAACCAUAUGAAGUCUCAAAAACUUAAAUCCCAAAUCUUUAACAUUUUUCAAGGAAACAUGCCAUGCAAUAAAUCAAAAUAUAAAUCAGGUGAAAUAAGGAAUCAAUCGGAGACCCUGCAGUUGGUCCUAUACGAUUAAUUCAACAGCUCAAUAUCCCACUAAGCUGGAGCCACCACAGUGACCUAUACGGCCCUACUCUGCACAUCACUCGGAACUACGUGAGGUAGUCUAUACGAUGAAAGGUGUAAAAAUACGCUCUAGUGCUUCUCUCAUCAUAUCAUCAGCGCGCAUAUCUAAGGUCACCCACCAGUCAGAACCCCUCUAAUGGUCUGUGCGACUGGCAUGUCGGAACCCUCACAUGGUCUGUACGACAUCCACCUACUUGGAUCCAAGGCGAGCGUGCGGUGUGGUGAAUAAAAUAAGCACUAACACCUAGGGUGCAGGUUAUGAGCUUGAAACAUCUUAUCAACAAUCAAUUAAAUGAAUAAUGAACUUACCUGACUUACCUGUGCCUCCACAGCACCAUGCAACAUGUAUGCAUCAUAUAUCAAUCAUAUAACUCAUAUGAAAUUCACAUUUUCCAAAUAAUUCUAUGCAUGGCAUUUUCAAAACAUAAUUUCGUAUAAAUUCAUCUUCUGGGAAAAAUUAAUAGUAUAAAGGUAAUACGAAAACAAAACUGCCCACUCACUGAUAAGUCGACGGGUCGUAACCCCCGUGGCGUCCCUGGAUGCGGUCGUCCUCGGGAUACGUCUCACCUAUAUGCGAAAUAACUAUAAAAACGUUAAUUUUAAACACAUCACCAAUAUUUCGAAAUAAUUUCUCAUACGAUGCUCAAUUUGGGUAUAUGAAUAUACCACAUCGACCUACUCGACGUCACGAGCGUCGAGAAAUUUUUAGAAACUGAUUUGGACUCCCCACGCGCCCUCACGCGCCGGCUAGAGCUCGGCUCUACGCGCAGGCCACGCGCAGCCACGCGCGGCACGUGUCAUCGUCUUCCCCAGGGUUUGCCGGACUGGUUUUUCCGGCGACCCAAUUCCGGCCAAACUUUAAACCUCUUGUUCUCCUUCGUUUUUCACCCAUUUUCUUCGUAUUUUAUACCAAAUUGAAGCCCUAAGAGUGUACUAUCACGUUGGACUAGUUUUAGGGUCUAAAAAUCAAGAAAUCUCACCGAGCAAAAUCCAAGAAUUCGGCCAACUUUGAAACCCACGAUCCCGACGUCCAAAUCCUUCAAACGAACGUCCCCGAGCUUCCUUAGGACCUCACUAAGCUUGCUAUAAGCUUGAAUUCCCCUGAAACACAACAUUUUACGUUCGCAUGAACAGUACCCAAAAAUGGAGGUUUCGGAUUCCACGUGAAAUCGAAGGUCUCACUUCCUAAAACUAGCACCAAUGAACUCAGGACGUCAAAAGGAUGAAGAUACAUACCUUAUUUGCCUCGAUCCGUCAAGUUUUGAAGGGUUUUGGUGGUGGUCCGUACGUGGAGGGUGAGGGAAAGAGAGAGAUCGUGAGGGAGAGAGACAGAGAGUGCUACGGGAGGGAGAGAAGACAGGGAGUGCGUGUGUGUGUGAUUGUGUGGUCCAACACAAUCCUCACCAUCCAUCCAAAUCCCUAACCAAAAAAAUUCCAAUUCCAAUAGUUUAAUCCCAAAACUUACAAAAUUAAUUCAGAUAAUGUCACACACACACGUACCCAAAUGGCCGUCAAGGGUAAUUACGUCAAUUCACGCCCCCGAUAUAGAAAUCCCGGGACGGGCUGUGACAAAAGUCUUUAUCAUUAAUAUAUUUACUUAAUAUAAGUUGUAAAUUAUGAUCUAUCAAGUUUACUCUAAGAUUACAUCCUUUAAAACCAUCUUUAGUGGACCAUAAGUGCAACCAAUUCGACAUUGAUAACCUUUUCGUUUUGUAAAGCAAUGAAAGAUUCAUCAUCGAAUCGGAAUCUUGUUCACAAUGAAAUGUUGGGGUCAGGGUUUGUUCACAAUUGAAACGGUAAUAAGGUCAUGUCGGGUCAAGGGAAACCCGCAGUGAUACCAACACAGCAGAGUCAAGUAAGCGGCCAACUACUAAUUACAAAUAAAACUUUCUCAACUUAAUUACAUGCACAGUCCAACAUAUGUUGAAUUCUAUCCAAAAAAAUUAUGAUGCAAAAAGUGAAGUCAUUCAAUACACGUAAUUUAACUGCUUUGAUUGGCUAGCAAUAAUAUGAUUCAAUCAGUUGUUCAUUAAAUAUUAUUUUCUCUAUUCUAAAUGUAAAUUCAACUGCUUUGAUUGGUUUGUGAGGGGUUUUUUCUAGCAAGAUCUAAGAUUAUUUAUUUACUUCAAAUAUUUGACUUUCCGUUUGUCAAUUCACGCAUAUAAAUACGUUUACAAUAUGUAAAUCACUCGAAAUACGCCGUGAUUCAAAAAAUAUCUUCUGCACGCUCGUGAGCGUGUGCAUGAAGGCUAGUAAAAAUAAAAGACAACAUAUUUUCCAAGAAAAAUUUAACCCUUUGAAUUUCCAAAUUUCUCCUUGAGAAUGAUCAUAAUCUUUGACAAAUCAUAGGGAAAUUUGAUCAAGAAAACGUCCCAAUGAAUUGUAAGAGGAGCCACCAACCAUCAGGGCUUUCUUGCUCUUCUCACUCAUGUCCUUCACCCUCUUCCUCACAUCACUAUCCUUCUCCAUCAACUCCUUUAUCCCUCGCUCUAGUUCAUGUGCCUUCACAACAUUUGGGUACUCACCGUACAAGUCCCUCCUAUACUCCAUAUUAACUUCCACCGCCAAUCCUAAUUCCCUCACCAACUCAAAUGCAUUUAGUUGUUGCUCCGCGUACACCGGCCAAGCUGCGACCGGCACGCCAAACCAUAGGCUCUCCAACGUGGAAUUCCACCCGCAAUGGGACACGAACCCUCCGACGGCCGGGUGGGCUAGGAUCGCCACUUGCGGAGCCCAACCUAUGACCUUCCCAAUCCCAGCUGUCCGAUCGAGGAAUCCUUCAGGUAGGACUGCCUUAGGAUCCGAAUAGUCACUAGGGGAAGCGAUAAUCCCCUUUGGUGGGGGCUGGCGCAGCGACCACAAGAAGCGAUGCCCGCUCUGCUCCAGCCCCGAUGCUAUCUCCCUCACCUGGUCCUCACCAAAGCUUCCCAUGCUCCCAAAGCACAGGAACACCACAGAUGAAUCGGGCUGCUCAUCUAGCCACUCCAAUAUAUCCGACUUCUGCUGAGCCUGCUUCGAACCCACCUCGGUUUCACUGAUCUUUAGGUUCAGAAUAGGUCCCACAGGGUACACAGGUGGGGUCUUACCAUCAGAAAGUGAAUCAAGGGCGUGUGAUUCCAACUCAACGAACGUAUUUAUCAGAAUACCCUUGAGUUCUCUAAACCUGUUGGCAUAGCCAAGGAAAGCUUUCGCACCAUCCUUGUCCAAAAGGACGCUUGGCAAAACUCCAGCCGGAACCGAGUCGACAAAAGUUGGCAGUGUCAACUCAGCAUCCGAGCCCUUGAACUCGCUUACGUGCUUGCCAUACACGUCGCGAAUCGUUUGGAUAUUAAGUACCAGCCCGAGAAACCCGGCCGGCGAAGUGAAGAACAUGUACGUAGGAACUCCGAAAUCAUUGGCCACGUCGACCAUUGUCGUGCAAACCAUGUCGAUGACAAACCCGGCAACCCGAGUCGACUCGGACUCUGACUCGGCGAGUUUGGAGACAGCAUCUUUGACGUAGGGUUUGUGGCUCUCGACGAAUUUGCUGCGGAAGGCGUUGGGACUUUUGCGCGUGUCGAUGUCGGAGGCGGCCUGUGGGAGGGUGAUGAAGUUGACACGUGACAACACGGGAGAGGAUUCGAGGGAGGAUAUGUAGGCCUCUGUACCCUUGGAUUCGAAGGGGAGCUUCAUGAUGAGGACUGUGAUGAAGAGUUUCUCGUCUCGAGAGACAAGGAGCUUUGCCAUCUCCACGGCGGAGAUGAGGUGGCCGGUGCCGGCAUAGGGGAUGAAGACGAGUUUCAUUGGUUGCUUCAUUUGGAAAUUUAUUAGGAGUUUGAUAGCUUUGGAGGAAAUGAAAAUUUAAUUAGCUGAUUGAUGUACAAGCUUCUUUUCUUUUAGAUGUGUGUCUGUGUAUGUAUAUACUAUAUAUAUACACAGAUAAAUAUAUACUCACUCUCACACACACACACACAUUAUGGAUGUAAAUGAUGGAGGUGAUGAUCUCAUGCCUUUGCUGGCAUUGGUUAAAUUGUUUAGUUAAUUCGCAGGAUAUUUAUAACAAAGACUUGGAAACCAAGAAAAGGACCUUUGGGGUUCAGAGAAAGUUUCAUGCAUGCCUCUUGGCCACAAAUUACGGAAGAGAAAUUGGAGUAGUGAUCACGGGAAUAGAUAAGUUGUGUGAAUAUUCGAGAAAAAUUAUUAAUAAAAUAAUACGAUAAAUUCUGUAAAUGUUGGAUAGAACCAAGGAACAAAAUGCCGCCGAUAUUAUCGGUUUUUCACAAUACCAAUAUUUUAAUAGGUAUCCAACGGGUUUUCGUCAAAAUAUCGCGAUAUUAUUGAUAAUAUCGAUAAUAUCGCGAUAUUUCCGAAACUAUCGCGAUAUUUUGGAACUGUGCUACUCGGAGAAGAACUGGAGAAGAACGCCGGAGCUUCUACAGCUUCGGCCGACUGUAAAAGAGCACCCUAGACACCGAUCUAGGUAUCAAAAUGAAAUAGAAGACGAGAUGAAUGUUUUUAUAAAUUCUGUUUGCCGUGAAACAGUCGGAGGUGUUUAGAAAGUUCGUCAACACCCACGACCUCGCCGGAGAUGGGUGUGCCUAUUCCCGAGCCGAUUUCGUCCCAAAAACCUUGCAAAAACACAAUUUUGAACUUAAAUUUCACAUAUAAGCUUCAACUAGAACAGAAAGAGGCAAACCCGAAGCUUACCUAACCGGAGAAAUUCAAGAACCUCGCCGAAGUUCCUACGUUCGCCGAGUUGCAGAGACGAGAAGGAGAGGGAGAAAGACAAGGUUGCUAAUGAUGAUGGGUGUCUUCCUGAAGCAGGUGCGAUGGUGUGCGUGUGUGUAUGUGGGUCUCGGACCCUCGGUGCAGAGAGAAAAGAGAGAGACAGUGCCGACGAGGGAGGAGCAGAAGGCGAUGUGGGAGAAGGAUCGAGAGACCUUGGGUCUUUGUGCAUGUGUGUGGGAGAAGGAUCGAGAGACCUUGGGUCUCUGUGCAUGUGUGUAGGAAAUCUGUGUGUGUGUGUGGGAGAAUGGAGAAGGGAGAUCAGAGAAGAGAGAAGGAUGGAGAGAGAGAGACUGUGUGCAUGUGUUGUGUUGUGUUGUGUGCGUGUGUUGUGUUAUGUGCGUGUGUGGUGGCGUGUCGGUGUGUGUGUGUGGUUGGGUCAUCUGACUCACACUCACCUGACAACUUUUACAAUCACUUUUUACAAUUUCAGACCAUGGACAAAAAUAAUAGUGCUUUCAUAAUGAAACUGUGUGCCAUUGUGAGUUUGUGAUAUUCUUUCACAUUCAAAACCGUGUGCCACUGUGAGUCUGUGAUAUUCUUUCACAUUCUCAGAGGUGGAGUAUCAGAGCCAUUCAGAGCAUUUUCGUUUCUUCUUCUUCCCUUACCCCUUUCAAAGUCAUUCCAGAUCCAUUCCAGAGCUUGAACACAAAGGUUCCAUAUUUAAAGUAAGUUUACAAACUUAUAUUUAUAUUAUUGUAAUUUAUACAACAACAAAAAAAUUUGUAUGGACUCGUAUGUUAAUUUUUUUAAGUAAUUAAGUAAUGUUGUAUAAUUAUUCCCUAGGAUAAUUUUAAUAUGUUUAAUGUUAUUUAUUAUUUUAUUAAUAUUAGGUUUGAUUAUCAAAUUGGAUUAUUAUUCAUUAAUAUUAGGUUUUUUAGUUAUCAAAUUGGAUUAUUAUUCAUUAAAUUGGAUUAUUAUCAAUCUUCAAAUGAUUUUGCUUAUGGACAAGGUCAACCAAUCUCGGAUCCAUAUGGGUGACAUGUUAACAAUUACAUGCAAAACUAUUUUGGGGAUUUAUCAUUUGAUAACUACUAUUCACAAUACACUCACUCUACACAUAGAGAUGAUGAAGAUAGUGAAAAAUUUGAACCUCAUAGGAACUCUAUGUGGUACUAAGUCACUCAUGUAUCUUACCAUGCAAUGUAUAAAGUAUAAAAUAUUGUACUAAUUAAUUAUAUAUAAAUGAUUAUGGUGUGUUUAAACUUCUUUCAUUAAUUACUACAUAUUUUCUACACUCACAAUGUUUGCCAGCUCGCUAUAUAAUCAACUUGAUAAUGUUAAAUUCAUCAUGCAAUGCAUUUCCUUCCAAUUUUUUUUGAUAAACUAAUAGAUAAUUGACUAAAUAAACAUCCUGCAAAGUUUCAAUAAAAAUUUCCAAGUUUUUCUUACAAUUUCCGUGGUUUCCAUAUUAUUUUUAUCGAUAUCGAUAUUAUCCCGAUAUUUCCAUCGAUAUUUCUGUGUUUUCGGACUACCGAUAUUUCCGAUAUCAUCGAUAUUUAAUACCUUGGAUAGAACGGGAGAGUUCUUUGUUUUGAAAUCCAACUACAUAAUAUAUAUUUUAAGACUAUCCAAAUUAAAAAUAAAAACUCAAAAAUAAAUCGGAUAGAACGGGAGAGUUCUUUGUUUUGAAAUCCAACUACAUAAUAUAUAUUUUAAGACUAUCCAAAUUAAAAAUAAAAACUCAAAAAUAAAUCGACGACUUGUAGUAGGACUUAUAUAAUAGAGGUGUACCCUAAUAAUUACUUUUAUUUAUUUUUUUAUGAACCAACGUUAUUAUCUACAUUAAAGGGGAGAGAGAGUAGGCUUAAAGUUCACAAUAGACUAUCAAUAUUAUAGUUCAAAUUUAUCUUUAGCAAGAAUCGAAUCUAAAAACUAUCACUUAUAAAUAAAAAAGAAUAUCACUAAACCGUAGUACGAAGUGAUUAAUAAUCAUUUUUUAAUAGUUACAGAAAACAUAAUAUUUCUAACAUUACUCGUCAAUCGAACGGACUUAAGUUGAAUUCAUUUUUAGGCAACUUUUUUCUUUUUAAUAUGCUUUAUUUCUCCAUCCUCACUUCCACGAGCUUAUUCUUCUUCGUUCAAUAUUUUUCUUAUAUACAUUUCCAAUAUUUUAAAUGGAAUUAAUAAAGAAAGACGCAAUGACCUGAGCUGUAAAAGAACAAAUUUGCUUUUUGACCUGGGGGAGUCGUAGCCGACAAGAAUACUGCAGUCUGAAGAAAAAGACAGAUUCCGAAAGCUGACCCGGCAUGCACCUUCCACCUCGUAAUCUAUUUCUUUUUCUUCUUUCUUUAUUUGAACUAUUAUGAUUUAAUCACGUUAAUAUUUAAUAUUAAUUUUUUUAUAAAUAUAAUAAGAUAAAAAAAUAAUAUGACGUUAAUAUUUAAUAUUAAUUUUUUUAUAAAUAUAAUAAAACAAAAAAUAAUAUGUAUGAGAAGAAGAGGAAAAAAGAUAAGAAUAGAAGGAAAGUAGUAAUUAUAUAGACAUAUUGAGGAAACAACGGAGCAUGCAUAUUUAUGACUCCCUUGCCACGUGGUAUCUUACUAUGUUAGUGAUUUCCGCACUCCCUGUUUUUUAAAUUUACACUCUUUCGUUUGGAUUUUUCUUUUAUUUCCUACAGAAGGAGGUCUGAAAGAGGUGUGGAAAUUGCUCCCGAUAAUGUGCACGUCGAUUAAAAUGGAAAUUAAAAACUGCUCAUUGGACUUUGCAUACUAAGAAAUCAUUGGACAAAGAAAUCAUUGGACUUUUGAUUUGUUAUUAUGCUGCUGCACUAAUUAGUCACAGGAAGAUCUGAUCAAUGAAACGGUCCAAUGAUGAGUGUGAGGAACCACCAUCCAUCAACGCUCUCCUGCUCUUGUCACUCAUCUCCUUCACCUUCUUCCUCUGCUCACUCUCAACCUCCAUCACCUCCCUUAUCCCUCUCUCUAUCUCCUCCGCCCUCACCACCACCUCCCCUUCCCUCCUGUAAUCCAUCUUAAUCUCCACCGCCAGUCCCAACUCCCUCACCAGCUCAAACGCAUUCAACUGCUGCUCCACGUACAUUGGCCAAGCCGCAACUGGCACCCCGUACCAGAGACUCUCUAGGGUUGAAUUCCACCCCCAAUGGGACACGAACCCACCCACCGAUGGAUGGCCCAAGACCGCAACUUGCGGGGCCCAUCCUAUGACCUUCCCUGUCCCGGCCGUGCGGUCGAGGAACCCUUGGGGCAGGACUCCGCUGGGAUCAGCAUAAUCACUGGCGAAUGGAAGCUCCCCCUUUGGCGGGGGCUGGCGUAGGGACCACAAGAAUCGGAGGCCGCAGUGCUCAAGCGCGGCGGCUAUCUCCUUCACUUGGUCCCCACCAAAGCAUCCCAUGCUCCCAAAGCACAGGAACACCACCGACAAAGGAGGUUGAUCAUCAAGCCACUCCAGAAUUUCCUUCUUUUUGGCCAGCUCCGAGCCUUCAGGGUCACUCUUCAAGUUCAGUAUGGGCCCUACAGGGUACAGCGACGGGGUUUUGCAGUCGGUAAGAGCUCCGCGGCCGUGGGAUUCUAGCUCCAUGAAGGUGUUUACCAAAAUCCCCUUGGUUUCUCUGAACCUUCUGGCAUGGUUGAUGAACUCUGUGGCGCUAUCCUUGUCCAGAUACAUGCCAGGCAAGACUCUAGCAGGCAUUGGGUUGACAAGACACGGCAAAACCAAAUCAGGAUCCGAUUCCUUCAGCUCAGUGCAGUCCUUGUUCUGCUCGUCAUGAAGGGUUUGGAGGUGGAGCACAAGCCCGAGAAAGCCUGCGCCGGACGUGAAGAAGACGUAGGUAGGAACCCCAAACUCAUUGGCCACGUCUAUCAUGGUGGUGCAGAACAUGUCGAUGACAAACCCGACUAGACUGGGCUUGCAAUCAGACUGAAGGGCCUCACUAGUGAGCUUCGCGACUGCAUCUCUGACGUGUUGUUUGUGAUUUUCAACGAAUAGCUUCAGGAAGAGGCGGGUCUUAAUACCCUUCGUCUCUACGGCUUCCUCCGGGAGGUUGAUGAACCUGAUACGUUCGGCGUCGUCAGCACCCUUGAGCUUCAACUUGGACUCCAAGGGCAGCUUCAUGGUGAGCACUGUGAUGAAAAGCCGGUCGUCUCGAACAACUAAGAGCUUUGCGAUCUCGAACGAGGACGCAAGAUGGCCAAUACCUAUGGCAGGAAUGAACACUAGCUCUCUCUCUCUCUCUCUCUAUAUAUAUAUAUUACACGUAAGUAUGUAUGUGUAUACAUAUCGAAGCAUGCACAUGGAUUGUGGUGUUUUAUAUAACAAAUAUAAACCACUCACAAUUCUUGGAGCUUUCCCUUGGCCCAACCACGAAAGGACGUACAAAGCUUUCAUGUUAUCUUUUUAGUAACGACAGUGCCGGUGACCUUUUGAGGUGAUAAAUCCUGCAUUGCCACACACAUAACGAUGUUUAUAUGUAUAUGGUGUACGUAAUGAAAUCGGUUUCUUCCGUAAGGGAAAAAGGAGAAGCACCAAAGUAUAUUUAAGUAGAAAGUUGGAAAGGAAAAUCUCCAUACGGCUCAACAAAGUUAAAAUAAGCAAAAGCAUUUUUUUAAGUCUUGGCAGCAACGAAAACUUAGUAGAAGAUACUACAAUCAGAUUAUUGUAUAUAAAUGAACCUUUUGUCUGACAAGAAUAUGGAUCGUAAUAAAAAGUUAAAAAGAAAGAUAGGAUCAUAAAAUAAUCAUGAAAAUUAGAGCUUUUACGUGUUGUAUCAGGGAACCCAACGAGAUUCGGAAAAGAAAGUGGAACAGAAUAAACAGAGAAGAAUACCUAGUGAAAGGACUUCCUCCCAUUUCUGCACAGAGGAAAAUGUCCGUCUGCAGCUACAGCACUAGAACUUCCCUUCAAUGGGCAGGGCACAACGGAGCUGUCUGUUUUAGUUUUUGAUGGAGAUUUCCGCGGCCAGAUGCGGUUUCCUCAUGUGCCCUGUAACAUGACCAAAUUACAGAUUUUCUUUCACAGAAUUAUAACCAAUUUAACCUUCAAAAGAACGAAAAGUUUAAUAUUUUCCUCAUUCAUGACUGUAUGUGACUCAGUAAACGUGAGAGCGUAUAUACGUAGUUCACUUUAACAAUAUACAUAUCAGGAAAGUAUAAGACUGCAAGGUAACAUAUGAUAUACUGGCCUUAUGACUCUCUAUCUUAUCCACUGCAGAGAACACAUUACUGAACUCCAUAGCAAACAUAUGAUGGCCUUGAUGGGAAAUAUAUCCCAUGCUGCAAAUUCACAUUUAUAUACUUACUACCAGUUUAGCAAGCAUCCUUCCUAAAUUAUUAUUGCCCAACCAAUUCUAAAAAUUAUUAUUGCCUGCUUCACAACUUCCAUAUAGAAUCCAGAUGGCAUAUUCCAUAUUUGGGUUGUUGUACGAAAGCGACAGAUAUGAGAUCAAUACAUAAGCAAGGCAAAGUUUGAUAAAUACUGAAAUCCAAAUAACCCAAGGAUUUAUACUAUAGUUGAGAAUAAGCCUACGUUUAGUUUGGAGACGGCAAGGAAAUUCCAGUAAUAAGAAAGGGGAUUACAAAAGUGUUUUACAUCACAAACCCAAAUCCCACAUGCACCCAAGCUUACAUAAUGUGGACCCAAAAGUAAAGGAACUAUGUCCUACAUCAUUACAUAUUCAUCAGUGUUUUGCCUCUGCCAAUACAAAGCUUCCAUACACUGAUGAACAACACAAGUUACUUUGGGUGUAGUACCAAUAAGUAGACUCUUAUUCAACCACUUCUUAGCUGCUCUCGGUGCACAAUUAAAUGCAUAUAAACUAGUGUGUUAGAGAAGUCAAAUAAAAGAAAAUCAGUGUACCUUAGGAAGUCAUAUUGAAUGGGCAGAUAGUAGAUACCAGCCUUACAAACAUAGGUGACGUGAGUGAUUUAAAGCUAAGUAACAAAUUCAACCAUAGCCAAUUAGUCAGCAAAGCCACAUAAAUAUUGCUUAUAAUAGCCUUCAUGGGGAGACACAGCACAAAACAUUAAGAUUUUCAAGAGUUCUAAGUAGAUCAACCAAUAUAAUACGACAAUACGAGUCACCCACGAGUAAGCCAAAUGGAAGAAAAUAAACUACUCGUGCAGGGUAUUCCAUGAAGAUCAAAGUAUCAUUAACUAAGCAUGGCCAUGCGCAACACUAUAUACAGAAAUCAUGCUUUUUUAACUGACCUGAAUAUAUGUAUGAGGCGUCUUUGAGAUGGCAGCUUAUUAACUUGCUAUGGCUCAACCGCUAGUGUCCAAAGUUCACUCUCAAAGACCAUGGGGACAGAUUUAAGCGCCAUCUAAAAAGAAUAUAACUUAGACAACUGCUGACCCGCACCAAAAGCUAAAUUAGCAAGAAAGUAGAUUCCAGCUGCAGAUACAAACAUCACGAUACAUCACAUAAACCUAAGAUGAAGCUAAACUCAAUAAAAAGACAUGCCCACUGACUUGCCAGAAACCAGCCAGUCUAGUUUUAGGAAAAUUCCCCCUUUUAAUCCAGUCCUUAACUAUGUAUUUUUAGGAAUCUUGAGAAAAUGCAUAUCUUAGACGAUUAAAAUUGGAUCGACAAUCACAAACGAUAAACUUACAUGAAGGGCAGUUUUCCAUGGAUAGAUAGUUCUUGUUAUGAUCCUGCAAAGGAGUUGCGGAUGCUGCAAUGCGAGCAUCGAAUGGUGGAUAAUUUGCAUGCAGACUUGUCAAAAUAGUUUACCACAUUGAAUGACACCACAAGCUGAAAAGAUCUUCUUUCAAGAAUUCUUCAUCAGUCAUAAGGUUCCAAGAUUGCAUCGAAGGAAGAAUUGAGAGAAGGCCUAUAACCAGUAUCUUUCAUCUUCACAGUCAAUUCCUCCAAUAUAUCAUAUAUCUCAUCACCCUGAGGAUGGUUUUGGUUCCUAGAUACGAAACAGUUCAAAAAACCGCUAAUAUCAAUCCAACUACAUCCAGUCUCCUUCCUCAAACCUUUUUCCCUCAUUUGUUUCCUCACAUUAUCCACGUUUUCCCACUUGCCUUCCUCGGCAUACAUAUUUGAGAGUAAAACAUGGUAGCCCCUUUUGCCAUUUGCUGCCUCUAGUUCAAGCAAUUUCCCAGCAACAAUCUUUCCCAAUUCAAAAUGUUUAUGAAUUCUGCACGCCCCAAGAAGUGAGCCCCAAAUUUCCAUCGCAUCACCCUCUUCGCCCAACCCUUUGACAAACUCGUAGGCUCAACCAUUCUCCCAACCCUCCCUAACAUGUCUGCUAUACAGCAAUAGUGUGCCGUUAGUGGUUUAAUAUUGUAUUCCCUUUUCAUUGAAUCAUAUAUCAAAAGACCUUCGUUAACCAAACCAGCAUAACUGCAGGCAGACAAGACUGCAACAAAGGUUAUGGCAUCAGGUGCAAUGCCAGAUUUCUGCAUUGAGUGAAACAAAGAGAGAGCUCUCUCACCCACUCCAUGCUGACCGUAGCCCAGUAUCAUUGUGGUAUAUGUGACAGAGUUCUUCUCAUGGGAUCCAGCGAAAACAUUUUCAGCAUAAGUGACUGCACCACAUUUGGAAUACAUGUCAAUUAGAGCAGAUCCCACGAAGACGUUUUGGGCAAGGUAGUGGCGGAUAGAGAACCCAUGGAGUUGCUUACCCAUAUCUAUGUUUCCCACUAUAUUACAAGCUGGGAGAACCGAUGCUAAGGUCACAGCAUUUGGGAUUAGAUUUUGCUCAAGCAUCUGCCUAAAGACAAAGAAAGCUUCUUCAGAUAGCCCAUUCUGUGUGUACCCAGCAAUCAUAGAAUUCCAAGUAGCCUGAUCUCUAUCACGGCUGUAGUCUUUUUUGAAAACCCGUUCUGCGAUCCUUACUGAGCCAGAUUUAGCAUACAUAUCGAUGAGAUAACUGUCCAUCCCCUCAAAUUGUAUGUCAUGCCUAAUAAGAUAAGCAUGAGUCUGCUUUCCAAUAUCUGGAUUUCUAAGAUUUGAUGAAGCCGAAAGUAGAGCAGUUACAGUUACCGAAUCAAUCAUGAACCUUUGCUUUUGCAUCUCAUAAACAAGCAUCAAAGCUUCAUCAUCUAAACCAUUUUGCACGAAUGCAGAAAUCAUAGUAUUCCAUGAAACAACAUCCCUCUCAGGCAUCUUAUGAAAAAUUUUGAAUGACAUGUCAACAGAAUUGCACCUUGAAUACAUUACGAUAGUCGCAUUGAGUAAAAUAACGGGCAUCGAUCUCAAAUGCUUGAUGAUAAAAGCAUGCAGCUGUCCAGCUAAUUCCAACUGUUGCAUCUGUGAACAUGCAGUUAAAACUGAUAGGAAAGUCACCUCAUCAAGAAUAGCCACUUCUGAGUUUACAGCUUGAAAGAAGAGGUCGAUCGCUUCAAUAGGACGGUUGUUUUGAACAUAUGCACCGAUCAUAGUGUUCCAAAUCUCUGUAUUUCUCUCGGAACAAUGGUCAAAAAUCUUCCUAGCAUAUUCAAGCUCGGCAUACAUAAAUAUUGCCGAGCUCACAACAAACAAGUCAGUCACGUAUUCCCCACCCAACCUAAGAAGCAUACUGUAUAGUCUCCCAUAGCGGAAAGUGCAGGGAAAACAUUGACAAAACUGACAGCACUCGGUGUUAUUCUCAUUCCCAUCAUCAUCCUAAACUGCUUCACUGCUUCUGCAUAUCUUUCCGUCUUAACAUACCACGAAACCAGCGUAUUCCAAGCAACCACAUUCCUCUUGCGCAUUGUAUCAAACACUCUACGCACUAAAUCAUACUGUGAAUAAUCAAAGUCAUAAUAACAAGCAGAGUACAUAUUCAAAAGCGAAUUGCACACAAUCCUACUGGGGAUCGGAAGACACCGAAGAACAUGGCAAUGCAGGGCUUUACCCAUCUUGAAAUUACGCGUGUCGGUGCAGGCUUUGAGGGUAGAAGAGUAAGUGUAAGGGUCGGCCUUGGGCCGGGAGAGGCGGAUUUCAUCUGGGAGUAGAACAAGAGGGCUUCAUUGGCCAUGUUGCUGCAGAUGAAUCCAAUGAUGAUGGUGUUCCAGAGCACGGUGGAGGGGCCAGGCAAAGUGUCGAACAGUUGGCGGGCAAGGUGAGGAGGAGGGAUUCCUCCUGAAAAUGUUUUGCGGACGAUUCAUAAAAUUUCGUGCUAAUGAUCGAAACCAUUAAUGAUAUAAAUCAUUAUGGAAAAUAUCAUCUUUAUAAAAAAAAUUAAAAUGAUGGUAGUGAAGUCAAAUAACUGCAACAAAUAGAUAAAACAGCUCAUAAUACUUUUAAUAAUUCUGGCUAUAUAUAUUUACACAUUUUGAUGACAUAAUGAUUUCAUGUGAUGAUCUUUACACAACGACAUAUAAUAUGAACAAUUCUAACGACAAACACAAAAUUUUGAGUCCGUUACAACACAUUUUUAGGGGAUAUCCUUCUCAUCGUUUCAGUUGUAAAGUAUUAUUCUAAGCAUAUAUAUCAAUUGCAUGGCCUGUGGGAUGGGGGUGGUGUUUUAAUUCUUGGAUUUUUUUCAUGUGGAGGUGAUGAUGUCAUGCCUUUGCUGUCAUUUGCUAAUUUCUAAAACCCUAGCUAGUACAUGCUGUUGUCUGCAGUUAAGAUUUCGGAGUUUAUAACCAAUACAAAUGAAGAAGAAAAGUCACCAUAAUUUAUUACAAGUCGUAAGUAGAAGACUAUAUAGAGACCACAAAAAAACCACACAUAAGAUGAACGCGAUUUAAUUGAUGAAAUUGAGGUUCUAUCAUAAAAUCAAUUGGCAAUAUGAGGAGUAGCCCAAGAUCAUAUAAGCACAUAGCAAACCUUGUCCCUCACCAAUGUGGGACAACUCUCAACAUUAAUCACAUGCGUAGAGAAAGAGUGGGGCUAGCUGUGACUAUUUGUUUUGGCAGUGUAUAGUGUAUACUGGUUGAUGAAAUAGACAGUUUGUAUCGGUGAACUUAGGUCCCUCGUGAUUCCUUGGAUACCACACAACUACAAACACAAGACUUAUCUGCAUAUAUAUUCUCGCGCAUAGGAUCGAUGGAUUACAAGUUUACAACAAACACCAUGUAGAGCAGAAGAAUGUAGAUUUAUCUGCCCAAAAUAAAUUGAUUGAGUGUUAGUACAUGUCUAUGAAUAAGUUAGUGGUUGACAAUGCUCACAGCAUGUAAUGAAGAGUUGGUCAUCUGGAGCUUUCAUUAUUAUUAGUAAAAACUCUAUAUUGAAAAUGAUGUCAAAACAAAUUUUUAGGCAUGCAUUAGGUGCACAUACAAGCUGAAUUGAUCAGUAUUCAGUACAGGGCCAUUCUGAAAAUCUCGACAUCAGGAUUACUUGUUCACACAUUCGUAAGCAAGUUAGAUUUUCAAAGAAAAGAAAAUGUCACCACAAGAUUUUAAGAUUUGAUACGUUGAACUAUGUAUUAAUGGAAAACUUACAAUACAAACGUUGCAAAUUACAUAUCGUAAAAAUAAGCGAGGAGAAUAUAAAAGCCCCCCAACCCAAUUAAAUUUGAUCAAUAAAACGCCCUAAUGAAGAGUAAGAAGAACCACCAUCCACCAAGGCUUUCUUGCUCUUUUCACUCAUCUCCUUCACUCUUUUCCUUACAUCACUGUCAAGCUCCAUCACUCGCCUUAUCCCUCUUUCUAUGUCUUCUGCGCUCACCACCACGUCGCUGUCCUUCCUAUAAUCCAUCUUAAUCUCCACUGACAGUCCCAACUCCUUCACCAAUUGAAAGGCAUUCAGGUUUUGCUCCGCGUACAUUGGCCAUGCGGCAAUCGGCACGCCAUUCCAUAAGCUUUCCAACGUAGAAUUCCACCCGCAAUGUGAUACAAACGCUCCGGUUGCCGGAUGGCCUAGAAUGGCCGCUUGCGGGGCCCAACCAAUCACCUUCCCAACCGUAGCCGUCCGAUCAAGAAACCCUUCGGGCAAGACUGCCUUUGGAUCCUCGUAGUCGCUUGGCAUAGCUCUCUUGCCUUUAGGUGGGGGCCGGCGUAGGGACCACAAAAACCGAUGUCCGCUGUGCUCUAGCGCGCACGCUAUCUCAUUCACCUGGGCCUCACCGAAACUUCCCAUGCUUCCAAAACACAGGAACACCACCGAGAAAGGAGGCUGAUCAUCAAGCCACCUCAAGAUAUCCGAGACCUUAUCUUCAUCACUACUUUUGAGGUUCAAUAAGGGUCCCACCGGAUACACCGGUGGGAUUUUAUCACCAGAAUCAAGAUAAUGAAGAGCAGGCGAUUCUAGCUCCAUGAAUGUAUUAACCAAAAUACCCUUGGUUUGUUUAAACCUGUUGACGGAGUCGAGGAUUGUUUUGGUGCUCUCCUUGUCCAGAAACGAACCAGGCAAGACAGAGGCAGGGUAAGGGUUGAUGAAACUCGGGACGGCCAACUCAGCGGUUGAGCUCGUCAACUCAGUUAUAUCUAUUCCCCCCUCGUCACGAAGCGAUUGAAAAUGGAACAUAAGUGCGAGAGUCGAAGCGUUGGAGGUGAAGAACAGGUAGGAGGGAACCUUAAAUUCGUUGGCCACGUCCAUUAGGCUUGCGCAAAACAUGUCGAGCACGAACCCGGCAAGCCGAGGCUUCGACGUCGACUCAGACUGAUCUGACUCGGGGAGUAAGUUGAUAACGGCGUCUCUGACGUGAGAUGUGUGAUUUUCGACGAGCAUUCUUAAGAAGGACCCGGGAUUGGGGACAGUGUCUUGUUUGUCCGAUUGGGCUUCUGGGAG